GUCAAGGACCCAGAAGAGUUUCCCUUCAACCAAGAGGCCAAUCACAGCACGACACGUGUCGACAUCAGAAGCCAAUCAUAGCGCGACACGUGUUAACAUCAGAAGCCAAUCACAACACGACACGUGUCAAUGUCAGAAUGAAACUAGAAACUCUCUUCUAUAAAUAGAGAUCAUUCUCUCACAAUAUUUCCUAAUGUCAUUUGUACUAAAUCAUUCACUAAUACUCACUAAAGGAGAGCUUGAACCUAUGUAUUUGUGUAAACCUUUCACAAUUAAUGAGAACUCCUCUACUCCGUGGACGUAGCCAAUUUGGGUGAACCACGUACAUCUUGUGUUUGCUUCCCUAUCUCUAUCCAUUUACAUACUCAUCCACACUAGUGACCGGAGCAAUCUAGCGAAGGUCACAAACUUGACACUUUCUGUUGUACCAAGGUCCUCACUGAUUUUGUGCAUCAACAGUAUUAUUUUAUAAAAUAAAAAAUACUAAUAUUUUAUUGCCUAUUGUCAUGGCUAUUCAGUUUAGGGGUGGAGAUGCAAAAGGUUCAUUGAAGGCAAUUACUGUUUAUUAAAGGCUAUUCAAUAAUGAGUUGCCCUAGGGGCCUUUGCAACACUAGAGUUGGUCUAAUGUUUGUCAAAUCCCACUCUCCACCAUUGAUUGCAAUAUUUUCAUCUCACAAACUGAGUCCUUCAGUCUCCCAUUCUCCAUUCAUUCAUGACUCGAGACUCGAGCUCGAGUCGAGUCCUCAAAAGUAGCCAUUCAUUAACAACGAACAUCUCAGACUCCACACCCCUAAACUCCGUCUUCGUCUCCCUCUUUCUGGCGAAAUGCGAGUGGUGGUAACCAUCAAAAACCACCAUCACCAUCAAAAACCACCAUCACCAUCAUCUCUCCAAAUUGAGACCACCACCGUCAUCUCAUCUCCUUCCAAAUUAAGGUAAUAUAAUUUCUGAACUCUUAAUUUUUAACUCUCUGGUUAAUUUUCUGGGUUUAGGGAUUUAUGGUUAUCUACAAUCUCUGAUUCUCUUUGAUCAAUUUUUGGAUUUGAGAGUUAGGGUUUUCUACAAUCUCUCAGUCUAUUCGGCAGUUCUUCAUACCCCAAACACAAUCCACAAAUUUUCCUUCGUAGAAAUUGGGAAUUUGGAAUUUGGGGAUUUAGGGUUCAAAUGUUCAUACCGUACCUACUGGGCAUUCCAUAAUGUUUGAAAUUUGAAUUGGGAAUUAAUGUAAUGUUCAAACUUGCAGACUUGUUGUAUAGCACUGAAUGGAAAUUUAUUUAUUGUCCAAAUCUACAAAUGUACAACACCUUCCUAAGAUCUUCAAGUGUUCAACAACUUGUGCAAUGUGCAAUCUCUGCUUUGAAUCUACAAGCUUGAAAGUAAAUUGAGUAUUUUAUUGAUAGUGGAAACUAUUUGUAAGACUAUAAUUUAGAGAUUCUGUUUACAAGGCUCAAAGUUUUGAAUUUCCAAAAAGCUAUAUGGUUUCUCUUCCCAGUCCCUACUCAUUUUGUUUCUUGUUUGGCAUCUCUUUGCAGAUGUUUACAUGAAUCAAUUGGUGAUUAAUCUCAGUCCAUAUCAUGAAUUCGUUUAAAGAUCAUAAACGUCAAUCAGUAAUUUUGGUUUUUUCUAGGCAACGAUAUAUGUAAAGGGAGAUGGAUGUAAAUAUACUUGUAUAUAGCUAUAUAUGGAAACAAAACUUUGUAAUCAAGGAGGCUUCUUCUGCAAGAGUAAUAAAUUAUUAAACAGUUUAUUUUUUUUUCAAAAUAAAUAAUAGUUGGACUCGUGGACCCGUCCCGAACCGGCCCCCUUUUUUUGGGUUGGGUUAGGUCUAGUUCCAAAGUUCAGAUUUCUUAUACCUAGCCUGACUCGUCUCGUUACAUUUUAAAAAGGUCCAGUUCGGUUCCUUCAAAUUUGGACCCGGCCUGGCCUGUGCCCAGCCCUAGAUAGGAUGAGAUGAAAAAUUAAUGAUUUUGGAAAAUUGAUAUAAAAAAUCGCUUAAAUUUUUGUCCAUAUAACAAAAUGGAAAAGCUCUAUAAGUUCAUUUGACAUUUCAAAAUAAUUUCCUUGUUUCUUCUACUCAUUAUUUGACUCGUAGAUUUUACUUACACAUUAAGUCUUCUUUCCGAGGAGAAUGAUUGGUCUCGGGUCAUUAGUGCAAAUGACACCAAGAUAAGUAUGUAGGUGCUCAAUAGAGAGUGAGUCCAUUGAACACGAUCAAUAAGGAGUUCUCAUACUCAUGUCACAUGAGAACUCAUGGUUGAGAUAUUGCAAAUUAGUCAAUUAACUGAGACAUCAUAGUUGUCUUGUGGUUAGGUCCUUUGUCUUAGGUUGUGUUAAAGGCAUUCCAUUUGAGGUGUCCACGGAAUAGUUGGGCCUAUGCUACUUUAUCAAGUGGGCUUGUGAAUGUACAACAAGAGAUCUUUAAACUUCAAACAGUUGAGGGAGAAUACUCUGUGAUGGCCAAAGUAUGAAUGAGAUUUAGGAAGACGUUCCAAAUCACAUUCAAGGUAAUCAUAUAGAUAAGCAAAUUACACUAGAUAAUAAACAUAAAAUAAACUAUCAACUAAAAUGUGAUCAAGAGUAUUGAAUUGGAAAAAGACCGUAUUGCAUUGUCAUCCCAAACUGAAUAAGUUCUCCAACCUUUUUUUAUUAGCUUGGGCAACCAUGACAUACUGCUAGGUGUCACUCAUGAUUUGUAUAAGCCUUGAAGAUGUAUAAUCACUAAAGGGAGAAUUGAAAGUAAGUUGUAAUUCAUAAUCUAUUAGAAAUAGUUAUAAUAGCCCGCUGCCUCGCUAAAAGGAACUUAAUGGAUCGCACAUUGUGUAAGGUAGUGAUUGAAGGAUAUCACGAAGAUGAGUAAGGACAAUUCAAUAGUUUACUUGUAUAUGGCUAGGAUUAAUUAAUAUGUUAAUUAAUCAUAUGAAAGGUUUGUAUGGGGCCUUAAGUAAAUUUUGGCUUCAGGGCCCAAAUAGGUUUUGGUCCACAAGUCCCAUUGAGUUUAAGUUGUAUAACAAGUAAAACAAAAUGAGAACUAACCCAAACACAAACACUAUGGCCGACCAUGCUAGAGGAAGAGUGAGGUUAGUUCUUAUUAUGAUUAUGUCACUCAAUGUAAGGGACUAUAUAAGUGACUUUACAACCUCACCCUUUAUUAGGGUUUCAAGAGGCAAAAGAGAGAAAACACUUGUCUCUCUUUUCUUCAAAGAGGCCGGCCACCAUGGUAACACAUUGCAAGCAUUUUGUUCUUCCAUGGUCACUCAUCUUCUUCCUCAACCAUCUUUGGUGUCAGAAUUUAAAGGCCCUGUCUUUUGUAGGCUUUUGGAGAAUCCUUUCUUCCAUCCAAAUCCAAGAAGACGUGGAGCCAAGAAGCAAAGUUCAUCCAUCCAUAUCCAUGAAGGAUAUUUUGUGAAAAACAUGUUCAUUUGAGCAAUAUCUAUAGCAUGCAAUUAACAAAUUAAAGGCGGAAUCAUGCUUGCAUGCACUCAAAACAAAACAUUACCCAUUAAAUUCAAAGCCUAGUAAUUAGGUGAACCAAGACUCAACUCAAAACAAAGUGAGUUGAGAAAUUAUACCUUUGUUGAUUCCUCUUUGCAUAAGCAAAGGAUAAUCACCCAAGAGAUAGGGCCUUCAUUACUUGCUUCUUAGAUCCAUGGAUUUGGAUGGAAGAAUAGGUUUCUCCAAGUUCUCAAAAUUGAGAACCUCUAAGUCUCCACACCAAGGUAAGAUUUUAAGAAGAAAUGAGUGACCUAGAGGAAGUAAGAUUGCUAGCUAUUUUCCUCUAGGGUGGCCGGCCUCUUUAGAGAGAAAAGAGAGCUUGUGUUCUCAUCCUUUCCCCAAAAGAAAACCCUAAAUGAAUUUUGGCUAUAAAGUCAUAUUUAUACAUUCCUUCAUUGGAGUGGCAAACUUGUAAUUAAAGCAAGUUCACUACCCUCCUCUAAAUGGCCAGCCUUAAGGGUUUAUUGGGCUUUCAAGCCCUUUGUUUAUUCAAGUUGUCAUACAACUUGAGUUAAUGGGCUUGACAUUCAAAUCCCAUUGGGCCUUGCGGCCCAAAACUAACCCUAAGUCUAUAACGAACUUAUUCGUUGGAUUAAUUAACAUAUUAAUUAAUUCUAGCCAUAAAUAAAUAAUUAAACCAUUUAAUUAUCCUUACUCAUCUCCGUUGUUUCUUCAAUCUCUCUACCUUACACGGUGUGUACGAUCCAUUAGGUUCCUUUUAGCGAGGCAGUGGGCGAUUAGAACUCUUUCAAAUCGAUUGUGAAUUGAAACUUACUUUCAAUUCUCCCUUUAGUGAUUAUACACGUUUAGGGCUUCCACAAACCAUGAGUGACACCUAGCAGUAUGUCAUGGUUACCCAAGCUAAUCAGAAAAGGUGGAGAACCUAUUCAGUUUAGGAUUACAAUGCAAUACGGUAUUUCUCUAAUACAAUACUCUUGACCACAUUGUUUGGAUUGAUAGUUUAUUCAUGUCUACUAUCCAAUGUGAUUCAUUUACUUAUAUGAUUACCUUGAAUGUGAUUUGGAAUGACUUCCUAAAUCUCAUUCAUACUCUGGCCAGAUAUUCUUAAUCAUAUCAUAGAGUAUUCUCCCUCAAACGGUUUGAAGGUUAGAGAUCCCUUGUUGCGCAUUCACUUGCCUCCAUGGCUAAGUGGCUUAACCCCAACUAUGCCGUGGACACCCGUGAAUGGAGUGACUUUGACAUAAUCAAAGAUCAAGGGCCUAACCACAAGACAACUAUGAUGCCUCAGGUCAAAGGACUACUUUGCAUUAUCCCAACCAUGAGUUCUCAUGUGACAUGAGUAUGAGAACUCCUCGUUGAUCGUGUUCAGUUGACUCAUUCGUUAUUGAGCACCUACAUGCUUGUCUUGGUGUCAAUUACCAAUGACUCGAGACCAGUCACUCUCCAUAAGAGAAGACAUAGCACGUACUGAUCUUAACGAACUGUCAAUACCCAAUUGACAAUCCUAUGAUCAGGAAUGUUUAGGAUAUGUAAAAGAAAGAGAAUGGUCUCAUAAAUCUAACUUGUUUAAAUUACAUUCUCCUAAAUACAUAUUCCUUGGACUUAUCGUUUAAGCAUAUAACAUUUAUAUGAGACGGCUUAAAACAAUAAUCUUUGCCCUUGAUAUUAAACUAGAUUAGUUUAACAUGUGAUAUGUCCGUAAAGUAUCAUCACAUGAUUGGUUUUAGGGCACAUUUCCAACAAUCCAUGGAGCCAAAGAGCAUGAAGGCCCUCUCAUGGUUGAAUAUAUAUUUGUUAAGCAAAGGUAUAAUAAACUUCAACACACUUUGUUCCUUGAGUUGAGUCUUGGUUCACCACCACUACUAGGCUUUGAAUUUCAUGGUGUAAGUUUUGUUUUAGAGUGCAUAUAAGCAUGCUUCCACAAUUUAAUUGUUAAAUGCAAGUAUUAUGUUGCUCAAUGAACUUAGCUUAUCUAAAAAUUUCCUUCAUACUAUCCACGGAGUAAACGAAAGAAACGCUAGGGUCGGGGAAGAGUAAAAGAGAUAGGUGGUGGGCCCAUAAAAUCUUUUAGUUUUUUUUUUUGGUAAAGUUCUAUUCAGUGUUAUGCGAGAAAGAUAAAAGUUAUGUUUUUAGAGGGUUAAUUACACUAACAUCCCUCGAGCUUUUUCGAGUUUUCACAAAAUCUCCUCAAGUUUGAAACAUUACACUAACACUCCUUAAGGUUUGAGUUCAUUUUCACAAUUACCCAUUUGGUCGAAGAUUUUCAUAUAAGAGGACAAUUUGCCCUUAUAAUAAAUUACUUAACAUAAUAAAAAACUUUUAUAAAUAAAUAACCAGAAGAAAAUCAAAUAAAAAAUUACGCAGAACAUUAAUAAAUGAUAAAUCGGAAUCCAAACAUCUAACUUAUGUUUGUUUUUCCACUUGUGUCACUAAAAUGCACUCGACCCAAAAAACCAUUCCCCUCAUUUCUAGCAACCCCGUCCCUAUCUUCUUCUGGGUUGAACAAUCCCUAAGCUUUGAACAAAAGAGAUGGCGAUGUUCACGGGUAGAUUUCCUAGAAAGUAUGAAAUUAAGAUAAAUGGAGCAAAAAAAGAUGGUGAUGUCGAUGAAAAAAAUUUCAGAACAAAAGAGAUGGCGAUGUCGAUUAAAGGCAUUGCAAAACAUGGACAUAGGUGGUAGCGGAGAAUUGACUGUGCUCUCGAGUGUUGUGAAGAAAAUCGAUUUUUUUCGUCUUCGUCUAGACCGUUUAAUCUCUCAGUACAUCUAAAUGUUAUUGGACAAUAUUUUAUUUGUUCACUUAGAAGAAUUCUUAUAAUUGAAAAUAGAUCGAAUAAUUUGUUAGUGCAGUUGAAGUUCAAGAAAACACAUUCAAUGAUGAUGGAGGGACUCUAUCAGUUUUUCAUUUUUUUUCUUAAUGUUUAGUGUAACUUUUAAUUUGAUUUUCUUUUUCGUAUUUAUUUAUAAAGUUUAUUAUUUUGCUAAGUAAUUACUAUAAGGGUAAAUUUGUCUUUUUAUCGACAGAUUUUCUAUUAGAGAUAUUAAAGCCUUAAAGGAUGUUAGUGUAAUGUUUCAAGUUUGAGGGAGUUUUGUGAAAACUUAAAAAACCUUAAAAGGUGUUAAGGUAAUUAACCCGUUUUUAAAUCAUUUAUUUUAAAUGUUGAAAUGGUAGCCGAGUUCCCAACUCAAAUGAUAAGUGAGAAAAAUAAGUAGAGAAAAGUAAAUAAACUAGCAUUCCUUCAUAAUUUUGUGUGUAGUCAACCUAUAAUUUAGGAGGAUUUUAAAAUAUUUUAAAAGUAAUAGAUUUGAUAAGAUUUAAAAACUCCUACAAAUUCGAUAUAGAUUUUUGGAUAAACUGUCAUCUUCCCCCUUAAACUAUCAUCCUAUUGUCAAUUUACCCCUUAAUUUUUUUUCAACCAAUUUACCCCCUGAACUAUAAAAAUUGGCCAAUGUACUCUUUACUGUUGAAUUUGUUAAAUUCCAUCCAUUUAGAUGUUAAAAAUAAGGGUGAUUUUGUCAUUUCCAAUGCAAAAUAGUAUUUAAUAAAAAAUGAUAAAGAAAUUAAUAGAAAACCAAAAAAACAAAACCCUUGCAAAUAGCAAAUGGAGGAUUGGUUCAUAUAGAGAGAGAGAGAGAGAGAGAGAGAGAAAGAGAGAGAGAGAGAGAGAGAGAGAGAGAGAGAGAGAGAGAACGGCCUCCUAGACUCCCAGUGAUUGGAGUGGAAUCAGUGAUGUGGAUUCUAAGGUGCAAAGGAUUAGCAGUGGUGGCAUGGCAUAAUCGGAACCGGCUUGGUGGAGUUGAAUCGGAACCGGCGCGGUGAAAUUGAAUCGUUAGCCGCCCCUCCACCUCGGGCUGCUCGAAUAUGGACUUCAAAUCUACCGCUAACCCCACAAUUUUUUUAGAGAGGGAGAGAAAGAGAGAGAGAGAAUUGUGAUGAAGGUGGCGGGUUGGGUGGCGGGUUGAGUUCGGGCAGGGAAGGAUAUGGAAUUGCUGGGUUAAAGGAAUGUGGGCUGGAGAAUAGGGUCUCCUUUUAUUUUCUUUUCAAGUUUUAUUAUUUUUUUACUUUAAUAGUUAAAAGUGAUCUUCUUUUUUAAAUUAAAGAAUUGAUUUUUUAAACAAAAUUUGGAAGGAAGUUUAAAAGUUUGACGGUAAGGUGUAAAUUGGCACAUUAUAUAUAGUUCAGGGGGUUAAUUGGCUGAAAAAAUAGUUUAGGGGGUAAAUUGACAAUAAGGUGAUAGUUUAAGAGGGAAAAUGACAGUUUACCCUAGAUUUUUAAGGAUUUCUGUUGAUUUGGUUUAUGAUUUUGGUGGAUUUUUAAGGCAAUGGAGAUGGUAAUCCACCAGACAGCCGAAAGCAACCAUUGAUCUCCACCACUUCUACACUCUAACCGUUAUCGCCACCUAUGGGAAAUUCACCAUUAUGCACCAAGCCUAUGUCACAUCCCGGCCCGGGCCCCCACCACAUCCCGGGUUUGACUCCACUGUAGCAUGAUAUUAUCCGCUUUGAGCUCCAACCACGCCCUUACAGUUUUAUUUUUAGGAACUCACACGAGAACUUCCUAGUGGGUCACCCAUCCUGGGAUUGCUCCCGCAUAAACUCGCUUAACUUCGGAGUUCCGAUGAAACCCGAAGCCAAUGAACUCCCAAAAGGCCUCGUGCUAAUGGAGGUGGGCAUGUACAUAUAAGGCGUAGAGGAUCCACUCCCCUGGGCGAUGUGGGAUCUAAGACCUCUGUUCGACUUUUUGAUAAAAAAAAAUUACAAAAUAAAUAGGGUAAAUUUUAGUUUACUACCCUUAAAGUUUUGUGGUUUUCAACAUUUGGUAUAUGAAGUUUUUUUCAUCCCAGAGUCAUACCUAAAGUGUUAAUUUUGGAACAGUCUCAUACAUCUGUUAGUCUAGCUGUUAAGUCUCCCGUUAACUGAUGACGAGGCAUCCAUGUGGACAAUGACUGGGCGCCACGUGUCAUUAAGGGUCCACGUGGAAAUUAAAAAUUAAAAAUAAAAAAAUUAAUUUGGCUUUCUCCCUUAUCCCUCUAUUCUCUCCUCUACACCAACCCACCAAACCCUCUCUCCUCUCUUCUCAAUUCUCUCAAUUGCACUUGCAUAAGCAUCAAAAGCCUUAACGCAAUCUGGAUACUCCAUAUCAAAAAACUUAUCAAGCAAAACCGCCAAAACCUCCAUUCUCUCCAUAUCAAAACACAAGAGGAACCGGCUCCACGAACCUCGACUUGGGCUUCGAGAACGCCGACCUAGAAAACGAAGCUCAUCGGGAAGUGGGUUCGGUAGGGAUUUUAAAUGGCUUCCCCAGCAGUAGCAAGGGACUCGGCUUUAGGAUUUUUGGAGAAGCAGAGUCGGGUACCCUGGGGCUUUGAAGCAUUGUCAUUUAGAGAUUCGAGUCUCUGAUUUCGUUAAUGUAUCUCGUGCGUUCUUCGUUGCCCGAAAUCUGCAAAACCACAUUGUUUGUUCCUUUCUUCUCUCCUGCGCCUUUUCCACCUUCCAUUGCACCACUCAGAAGCUUUAGAUACCCAUUUGGACAGUGUUCAAAAUAUGAAAAUACCUUCAUUUUUCUGGGAAAGUUUUGAAAUUUCUCGAGCUUCAAGCAAUUUUGCAGCAGAGUGCUGUGUGAUUAGAUUUUUUUAGAGAGAGAGAGAGAGAGAGAGAAAUUUAGUAGGAUUUUAUGGAAAAUGAGUGUGUGAGAACCGAUCCAACAGCAUCUGCAAAUGACCCAUUGUCAUGGAAAUUUGCUCUGGCUUCAUCUCUCUCAAUGGUGUCACACUCAAAAUUCUCUUGUCAUCUCACUCGUUUCGACUCACCGAGUCAUUCGUAUCGCCGUACGACCUUGACCUCCUCAUCCCCCCUCCAUUUUCAUAAUAGCGAUCUCGCUCUCCUCCACACUCAUACUCGUAAUUUCUCGGCGGCGGAGACCUGAAAUUCGAAGACCCGUCAUACGAGCCACCAGAGCUUUGUUGAUCUUCAGCACCAAGACUACCGCCGAUGCCGCCGCCGCUCUUCCUCUCGAGUGCGCUUUGUCCAUAAAAUCUGAUAGAUUUAGGAGGCGGGUCCCCCUCCGAGUCGUGUACACGAUCUUGUCACCGAGCAUCGAGCAUUUUACGGUGGACCUGGAGGAGAGGAGAUGAGGGUUUGGUGGGUUGGUGCAGAGGAGAGAAUGAAGGGAUAAGGGAGGAAGGGAAGCUCGAGAGAGGUAGAAGACGACCAAAAAACAAUUUUUGUUGAAUUUUUAAUUUCCACAUGGACUCCUUAAUGACAUGUGGCAUCCAAUCAUUGUCUACAAGGGUGCCAUGUCAUCAGUUAACGGAAAACUUAACAGUCAGACUAAAUGAUGUAUGAGACUGUCCCAAAAUUAAUACUUUAGGUAUGACUCUGGGAUGAAAUGAACUUGAUGUAUCAAAUGUUGAAAACCACAAAACUUAAGGGUAGUAAACUGAGAUUUACCCAAAUAAAUAUUACAAAUUGUGAAAUCAACAUCAUCAUUCCAUAAAAUUAGAAAGAAAGAAAAAAAAACUUAGAAAAAUCCCCAAAAAUCAGUGGAAAAAAAAAGGAUAAAGAGCAAGAAUUGAUCGUCGCGCAAGAAAAAAAAUGAAGAUAUGAAAAUUGGGACCCAGCAACACUACAUAAGAGAAAUGAUGCAACCCAUCAUCAUCUUUAUUCCGAAUUAAUGCGAUCCAUCAGCGAAAAUUGAAGAAAAAAUGAAGAGAUGAAGGAAGAAGAUAAAGAAAACAAAGCGGCUAGCAGGCAAUGAAAGGAAGAGAGAGUCAGAGGUCGCUGAUUUGAAAUCCUAGGGGGUGAGGUGGGAUUCUAUUUGGUCUUAAUUAUAUUAUACUUCUUGGUCUCAAAUCUCACAAAAUCCAUAACUUAAUAAAAUCCUAUAAAAUCUUUAAAUUUUUAAUAAUCCUGGAUUUUGGAUGGACUCUAAAAAUGUCUAUUAAAAUCUCAAUUAACUACACUAGGAUUUUAAAGUCUUUUAAAAUCCUCUCAAAUCUGAGUUUGACUACAUCCCUUAAUCAUAUAUAUUGGAAACCUUUAAGGGGAAGGGAUCUCUAUUUAAAAAAAAAAAGGGAAUUAGUUGUGGAGUCCACAAGACAUCAAACUUUAAUGAUCCAAACAAUCUAUUUUUGAAGUUGCACCUCAUAGAUCAUCCUUGCAAAGUAUUAGCCAAAUUGAAAAUGUUUAAGACACCUAAUUUGAGUUCAAAGAAAUUAAUGAAUACUUUGUUAUAUAAGAAACAAUGAAAUUUUAUCUUGAUAAUUAAAUAGGCAAAUGGUUUUGGAUUGAAUUGAAUUUUUGUAAAGAUGAUCUAUAAAACAAGACUUACAAAAUAGACGAUUCAGAUCGUUGAAGUUCGAUGUGGAGUGGGCCCCACACCUAAUCCCUUUUUUUUUUUAAAUGGGGAUCCCUUAUAUCUCUCUCUCUCUCUCUCUCUCUCUCUCUCUCUCUCUCUCUCUCUCUCUCCCUCUCUCUCUCUCUCUCUCUCUCUUCUUCUACAUUAACGGGAAUGUCAAAAUGAUAAUCAUAUAUGUAGACAAUAUCAGAUUGAUCAUAUAUUAUUGAACAUGGACUAUUGUGAAAUGAUUACCAUCGUUUUCAAAUGCCCUUUGUCUGGAAAUGAAGGAUUUUAGCUGUAAAUCUAUGGUCACUAUAAAAAUUACCAUUUGCCUGACUAAGAUUAGCUCGACAGAAGGUAUUUCAUCGGGUAAUUCCACUUCGCUCGACGAAAAAUAACUCUUAGUCGGGAAAACGUGAUCAACGCUUUGGUUUUUUAGAGGCUUUAAGCGAGGGAACAAUUUGGUGGGGCAAGUCUCAGGUCGUUAGGCAAACAUUUGGCGCCAAAGGUGAAAAAAAUGGUGCGAAACCAAUCAAAUCUUUCCCAACGAACUUUUAAAGUUCUGUCGCGCAAAAGGCUUAGUUAGGUCUUAGCCUUAAUCAAGUUUCAGGGUUUAGGGUUUCACAGUGACCAACCUUUCCCGACAAACUUCCAUCAAACUACCACUACUAUUUGCUUCAAUUAUGAAGGUUUAGGGAGUAGUAUUGGUGGUAAAAAUCAGAGGAAUGAGUGGAAGCCAAAUGUGGGAGUUCGCAGCGCUCAACUAUAAGAUUUGUAAUGGUAAUAUUAGAACUACUAGUUGGAAAGGAUAUCAGGAUCACUAUGUGGAAUACUUGAGUAAUUUCUUUUGCCGAAGAAGGUGAUGACGAAAAGUUACUCAGAUGACUUGCAUGUGGUCCAUGAAGAGGAUAUCACCGUCAUGAUAAAAAAAUAUCCCCAACAAACGCCACCUUCAAUCCCUACCGUUGGAUUAAUCUCCAUAACUACUUUAUAAACACCCCUUCUUCCUGCAUUUUUUUGCUUGCUCAAAUCCACUGUUCUGGCAAAGUCUAAUUCCUCUAAAAAAUUUAAAAUUUCUCUUUUUUCUUAGUCCUUUUUUGUAAUGGAUCCCAAACUUUAAACCCUAUAGCUACAAAAUUAAUUUCAAUAAUCCAAUUGUCAAAAAUGUUUGCAUAUACUUGAGAUAUCCUAUGCCAAAAAUCACAAAAAAGAAAGUUCAAAGAUUAGGUAAUAGACAAAAUUAUUCGACUUUUAGAAAUGAAAAAUCACGAUUUAAUGGUCAUUUUAACUCCGAUUUGGUUUUGCAAAUACAAUCCUCAACCCUAGCCAAAUAUAAUAAACUCUAAAUGUUUUGGAAUCCAUUCUUUUGACGAUAUACACAUUCUACGAAACUAGUUUUCAUGACAUUCAAAACCUUUGCCGACGAGCAUUCUGCGAGGCAAAGGGCUUAUAUGUUAUAACCCCCAGACCCUUCUUCUUUUUUCCUCCUCGCGCCAAUUCUGUAGAAUCUCUCUCUCUCUCUCUCUCUCUCUUAUGUGAAAUUGAUUUUUAUUUUAAUUUUCGAUUUCGUGUUUUUUUAUUUUUUAUUUAUUUUUUCAAUUUUGUGAUAAUCUCUGUGCAAUGUUGAUAAUAUUGAUAAUUUGUAGGAUUUGGGAUAACCUUGUAGGAUUUUUGUAGUUGUUUUUAUUGUUUUUGGUAAGGUGGUGGUGGAGUGGGGUGGGGUACGACGGUUGUGGGGUGGGUACCAUGGUGGUGGUUUAGAGGACGGGGUGUGGGUGGGUGAGUGGUUACGGGGGAAGUUUUAGGUGGGAGGGUGGGUGGUGAGGGUGGCACGGGUACGGUGGCGGGGGAUGGGGCUUAGGGCUUAGGUGGUGUAUGGUGGUGGUGGGGUGGGGGUUUCUAGGUUUAGUGCUUAGAUGUUCGUAGGUGGUGUUAGGUGAGGGUCUUGGGGUAGUAAAUUAGGUUGUAAAAUUUUGAAACUUUUAGGUGGUAAAUUUGGGAAAUUGUGAAAUUACGAAAUUGCAAAAAUUGUUAGAUAGUGAAAUUGUGAUUAUAAGGUGGUAAAAUUUAGAAAUAUGUGAAAUUGUAGGAAGUUUAGGAAAAUUUGUGAAGUUUGUAGGAAAAUAUGAAAACUUUGUGAAAAUUUAGAAAUAUGUGAAAUGAAGUAACGUUAUAAUAAUUUGUGAAAUGUAGUAAAGUUAUAAUAAUUUGUGAAUUUGUUUAAAUUUGGUUAAAUUUUAGAAAAAUGUGAAAUUGUAGGAAAUUUAUGAAAUUAUGAUUUUUUUUUUCAAAGAUGUCUUCACGCUUGAUCACCAAUAGUCGUCGCUCAACUUCGGCCCCUACUUAGAGUGAGAGGUUAGCUGCUAGCACCACCCAAGCAGCUAGCGGGACCUACACGCAAGGUCGAGUCGGUUUCCAGUGCUAGUAGUUUUGCGCCAUUGGAGCAAGUGGUCGGAUCUUCCAAGAGCCCUCAUAGCUACAGAAGCCACGAGCUUGUGGCAGCCCCAACUCAUCCCACCCUUCUCAGGGCAGCCUGAUAGGAGCAUAUUUAUACGACUUAGUUAGCUUGUUUCUUGGCAUUUAUGUUGUUAGUUCGUAGUUAUUUUAGUAUUUUAAGCUAUUUUCGUGUGUUUGUAGGUCUAAAGGGUUAAUGUGGCAAAUAAGUGCAUUUUGGAGCAUUUUGGAGCAUUUUUAGGCAUGGAAUGGAUGGCAUAUGCUUGGAGCAAAAGGAAUGGACGAAAUUUGAAGUUUGUGCAUUAUCCUCUCCCUAUAAAUAACCAUUUUAGCACACUCAUUUAACCCAACACACACAUUCACCUACCACUACAUCCACUCAUUUCACCCAACACAUUCACCUACCACUACAUCCACUCAUUUCACCCAACACAUCCAUUCUCCAAACAUCCAUCCAUUAUACCCAUUACAUCCACUCAUUACCAAACACUCAUCCACUACACCCAUUACAUCCACUCAUUACCAAAUAUCCACCCACUACACCCAUUACAUUCACUCAUUACCAAACACUCACCCACUACACCCAUUACAUCCACUCAUUACCAAACACUCAUCCACUACACCCAUUACAUCCACUCAUUACCAAACAUUCAUCCACUACACCCAUUACAUCCACUCAUUACCACAACACUCACCCACUACACCCAUUACAUCCACUCAUUACAACUCAAUACACUCAUCUCCCUAGCCUAUAAAUACAUCCACCCUUCACCAUAAUUAAGGGGCCAUCAUCCAAAGACACCACAUCAUCUACACAACUCUCCAUCCUUCACCAUAACUCACCUAUAUCCAUCCACCACCACAAGAGACCAUCCAUUCACCACUCACACCUUGGUGCCGCAUAUUUGCAAGGAAGGAGGAUUGCUUGGAGUUGUGCUAGUCAUUCAAUUUGGAUUGCUGGAGCAUUCUAGGUGUAUUCUACUUUGGUUUUCAAUGUUUAAUUUCAAUUGUUUCUGUUUAAUUGCAAGUAUGAGGAACUAAACCUCUUUUGGCUAGAGGAGAAUUCGAAACCAUGAAUAUAUUUGCAAUAUGAAUUGAUUUCUUCCAAUUGUGAUUUGAUAAGUUGUGAUUGCAAUUCAAUUAUCUAUUUUAUUCAUAACGGAUUUGUGUAUGUUUAUUAAGGAUGCAUACUUAGUUUUCAUGCAUGAAUUUGAUGCUAGGAUAUAAAUAAGUUUCACCUAAUCAUUACAAGUUUAUAUUCAUGACUACUGAAGGUUGCUUGUCACAAUCGCGUUAAUUGAAUUCUUGGCAAACGUAUCAUGCAUUCAUAGUUACAAUUGCCUCGUCAACGCUUAUGAUUUUCAUGGAACUUAAUGAUCUUUAAUUGUAUCUGUAUUAUGCAUUCAUAUAGGGGACUUUUAGAGAAUGAUUUGGGUUGUCGCAUGCAUUCAUCCAAUUCAAUGAGUAAAGGAAAAUCUGAGGGUUAAUUUGUGCAUCACGGUUAAUCUGGGGUGUUGAGCAUCAUAGUUUAUUGAAAAGCAAUUGGAGAUUGAUUUGUAUGCAAGUGUGUCAUGUGUGGAGAAAGACAUUCUAGCUAGCCCAUCAUCCAUCCAAAACAAACAAUUUCAUGCAAAUCUGUUUAGUUCUAGUUUCUGUUUUGUUUUACUUUAUUUUCGUCCAAAACCCAAUCCCCCUUUACUUUAGUGUGUCUAAUUAGUUAGAAUCUGUUUUAGUUUGUGUUUUUAAGUGUUUUGAGUCUAUAGAGUCUAGUUAAGUGUUUUUAAUUUUCUUUUUGUAAGUCAGUUUAGUUUAGAUUAGCAAUCCCUCCUAAUCCCCGGUCCAGAACGAUCCCUACUUGCAUUUUUACUACAAUUUGACAACAAGAGGGUUUAAUUUGAGUGCUUAACUUUCAUCGCAUCACAGCCCUAGUAGAGAGGUCGAUUCGGCGGUCGUACAACAGGUUAGGACGAAGACCUCUACACUUGGCCGAAAAGCAAAAAAAACAAAAAAAGGGAAAUUUGUGGAGGGUUGGCGAGCAACUGAAUCACUCAGAUCACACAAAAGCGGAUCCGGGUUGAAUACCUCUCGAGUCACUGAUGAGCGAAUGAAAAAGCCAACAGUUUGUUAAUUCACGACAUAGGUUCCGUCAUCUGCACCAAAUGCCUUUUAAUCCCCGUUUCUCGGAAGACGCAUAGCUCCAAGGUCCGUGCCGAGAUGGACAAACUGCUCUUAGUAAGUGUACAACUUUCUUAAUUAAUUAAUUUUUUUUCUUUACUUUUUAAUGUGGUUUUAAACUAAAAAAUUAGGAUUUUUUUUGGGAAUUUCAGGCCAAUUUCGAGUGGCACAUGGUGGACAAUGAUUGUGUCAAGUACAUAGACUGGUUAUGGAGGGAACGGUAUAAGAAGUGGAAGUACCGGCUGCAUAAAUACUAUUAGACUUGUGCGUCACCUAAGGCAGCUCCUAAAGAUCCACCUGAGGAGUUUGUGGAGAGGAUGGGCUAGUGGAAUUGGCAGUGCACUCAUUUUCAGAGCAAAAAUUUCAAGUAAGUUUUAUUUAUAUUUUAAUUUCAAUUUUUAUGUUUUUUUUAGUCUAGUUUAAUUAAUAUUUUUUCAAUUUACAUAAAAAAAUUGGCAUCAAAUAAAGGUAACUGGGAGAAGAAGCCGUACCUUCAUCACUCCGGUUCUCGACCCCUAUCUUACCGGGUCAAGGAACAAUGUGCGACUAGUUCACAUUUCCCAAAGGUGGAGGUUUUGGGGAAAACACAUUCAAAUUAUGGCAACCAGGCCGCGAAUGUCUUUUUUGUAAUAUUUCAUUCUAUGUUUUAAUUGUAAAUUUCAUUACAAUAAAUAAGGUUUAAAUUAUGAUCGAUAAUCUUAAUUGCUUUCCCCUGUUUUUUUUUAGGCUUUUAUGUUGCAGAAGAAGGACGAGUACCUCAUCAAUAUCUCCCAGCAACAACUAGAUGUGCCUAUAAAGGAGCUAACACCUAAUCCGGACUUCAACAUGUGGAGAUGGAGUUAGCGUGCCAAAGAGAAUAAGCUAAGCUCCAAAAAGAAGCAACGCCUCUGGGAGAGGCUUCAACGCACGACCGAGAAUUAAUGCGCAUGUACUUUACUUUGCUAUGGUGACCCAAUCCUUGUCAGCUUAUGGCAUAAGCAUUCCCGAGUCCUCAACCGACCUUCAGAAGUCAUUCCCCUAGCUACCCCAGCACCUACCCGAGUAGUUUACUUUUAUUUAUUUAGUUUUUUUUUUAACAUAAUUGUAUGAACAAUUUUAUUUGAAUGUAACUAAAUAAAUUUUUUAAAGUUAUCAACAAUUAUAGCUUUCUAAAUUAAUUUAUAAAUUAAAUAGUUAUUAUAAAUAUUUUUUUUCAUCAUUUUCUAAAAAAUAAAAAAAUAUAUUAGCCCGAAGAACUAUUUUGUCGAGCAAACAUUAUGUUAUUUUAGCUCACUCCCUUAAUGUAAAUAAUAUCGUAUGUUAAAAGAAAAAAAAUGUUUGGUUUCAUAGAGUUGGCCUGAUGAAGUUUUUGUUGGGUCAAGUUUACAACAUUAUUUAAUUCUAUGCGGGCAGCGGAAUAUCCUUGUCAGGCAGGUUAUUUGAUCGGGUCAAUACGGUCAACGCACGUUUGCGCGACGAGUGUAUUCGUCAAGCUAAAUCCAUUUCACCCGGAGAAAAUGAAAUCUCGUCUAGUAAGGCUUCGAGUGAUUGGUUUUGAAAUCAAUUGGCAUAGUCCGACAACUUCACUGAGAUUGACCAUACUUGUUCUAGACAAGUAAUCAAAGAGUUUCCUAUAAUCUUAGAGUCCUUAUAAUCUAAGGAUUGUCAUGCGCCACAAGUAACCACUCCUAAGAGGAUGCAAUAUCUACUUCCUAGAUAUCCUCUAGGAUUGUCUUCAUUUAAUAAGGAUUCUACUAUCCUAAAAGGUCAUCUUCUCGACUCGUAUAAAUACACCCUUCUAGGGUUCUUCUCUAUUAACGCAAUUCCUGCACGCUUUGAGUCUUAAUAUUGCUUACAAAUUUGACCGUUGAAGAGCCUUUGAUCGGCACCCCCCAGGUCUUUGGCUUACACAUGGUUGUGUGUUCUUUUACAGGUAAACGAGUUUAAGCAUUUCCACCACUUACGGCGGUGUGCAAAUUUGGUUUCAACAUACAAGAAAAUGUAGUAAAUGUAGCAUUGUGUUUUGUUUCCUACAAUGAUUGGUGCAUCCUUUUUUCUUUGACGUUUUCAAUUUUGUUUUCAAAAUAAUUAGCUGACAAAAUGACUUAGUGAAUAACUGAUUUUAUUUGCGCGCUUUGUUUGUAUCUAAAACAUUUAUAAUUAACAAUGAGACCCCAAAGUUCAAAUCUUGGAUUCAUCGCUGGGUUUGAGUAUUAAGCUGUAUUUAGACAAAUGAAAUUGAAAUGUGAAUGAAUUAGAAAUCAAGCAAUAAUAGUAUUGUACAAGCUUGGUUGAAUGGAAAUUUGAAAUGAAAAUUAGUUGAAAAUAAUCCCAUUGCGUUGCAUACUUGGAGUUUGAAGAGACAUUAGAGACAUUCGGAGUUUCAAAAAGUGAGACCUCAAAAAUUCAAUAUGAGCGGCACGUCUAGAAAGUACGGAAAAUUCUAAUGCGAGGAAAUUAACCAUUUGAUUUUCAAAGGAUGAUGGAGUUUUUAGCGAUGAAAUAUUUGUUCCUACUCAAACAUUUUAUUCGCAAAGAUGUAUUUCGUCAUAGAAUAUAUUUUUUGGCCAAACAAUAGAAUUAUUAGAUUAGUUAUUAAAUUAGAGAGCCGACGGGGUUCGAAUUCACGUCGUGAUGCAAGAAAAACACUAUUUUUCACUAAUAUAGUAGAAGACCACUUGUUUUCGUCAUAAAAUAUUUAAUUUCUACGUUGUUUUUUUAAUCAAAAUAGGAGAGAAUCAACUUAUAUGCUGGCGAGAAAACGAUAGUUUCCUCGCUGAAAGUCUUUAGGCGUGGGAAAUAAUCUUACAUUAAAAAACUCUCCAAUAAGUCAUCGUAUGCUAAUCAUGUUAUGGUGUUUUGGCUCAAUAUUUUCUAGGCAUAUAUGGUUUUUAAUGGUUGGUUGAAAAAGUAUAGAGAGGGGAGGCUACCUCAUCCCAAAGUCAAGGUAUACUACAUGUUUCUUUAAGGACUUAGGCCAUCUCCGGGGGUAGAUAUAGCCCUGUGUAGAACUAUAGUCCUGCAAAAAAUUAUUUUUUUAAUGAACAAUGUCACACCAUAUUCAUAUAUCAUCUCCAACCGAAGAGACAAAGUAUAGCUGCCUCAAUAAUUUAUUAGUUUUAAGUUAUUAUUUAUAUUUAUUAGUUAAUUUAAUUAAAUUACUAUUUAUACCAUAUUAAAAUAAGAUUACUAAUUAAAUUACUAUUUAUAUUUUUUUGUCGCAUGUCGUCAAAUGGGUAUGAAAAGAGUGUUUAAGGUAAACAGUAUGUGAAAAUUUGAAAUAAAAUAAGAUAAGAUAGUAUGUAAGAAAAAAAAAUUAAUAGUAAAAAUUCAAGAUAAAAUUAACAAACACAGCAAAUUAAGGAGAAAAUUAAAAAAAUCAUAGUAAAAGUUCAUAUUGGUAACUUCGUGGGGUCGCAAUGAACUCAACAACUCAAUGCCCCAAGGAGCCAAAGCUCAAGCCAUAGUGACUCUGUGGGGUCAUCUACUUUUUCAAAGUAGCAUGCCAGCUGACGGUACUAUGGCUAAAAGUUUUGCAAGACGCUUCAAGCAAACAAAGUUUUAAGAAAAAUAAAGAUGGAGCAAAGCGAAGAAAGAUGUCAAUUAGCUAAAAGUUCUAUAAGACGCUUUAAGCAAACAAAGUUUCAAGAAAAACAAAGGUGGAUUAAAGGAAAAAAAAACAAUCUAUUAAAUUUCUAGCAAGUUAAUAAACUUGCACGAAGGUCGUCAAAAUUUGACAUAGGCUAAACAAAAUUGACUGCUCAUUAGCAGCUUGGAUGAUCUUAAGCUCUCCAGCAGCUAUCCCGUAUUCAUUAGCCACUUCGCACUCGUUUGCUCGUCUAACACUUCAUCUUCACUCCGAUCUUGGCAUCUUCAACUGUUCCAUUUACAACAGUUGAGCAAUCAAACUCGAGCAGUUCCCUCAUUUUUUGGUGAGCAUCAUAGACAUAGCAGCAGUGGAAGGAGCAGGCUUUGACGCUUCUUUAACAGCUGAAUCCACUUUUCCAAGUGAUAGACUUUCCUCCCCACUUCUCAUAGUGGUGAGCCUUUCAGAAGCUCAUCUAGACUUAACCACAACUGGAUACUUAACUCUAUCUCUGGACCUAAACGUUGGAAACAGUUUGAUGUCAGGCUUUCCAAAAGUAGCAGAGUCUCACGAGCAGCAGAAUGACUUCUUCUCAACUGAAUGUCUAACAAGCAAGCUAACUUAUCAGCAAGGCUCUGCACCUUUUUCACAGCCUUUUCCCUGAGCUCUUGGCCCAUACCAACUAGCUGCUACAUCACCUACAUUAGCUCCUCGAGUUACCUACUUGCACGACAACCUUCUGGUUGCCCUAACACCAUCAUCGGCACCUGCCGAGCCAUUCUAUCGAGUCCCAAGGAUCCAAAAAAUAAAGAAGAAAAAAUUUUAAAAUUUUCUUAUCUUGGCACCACGUGUAGAUGAAAAACGACGACGACAAUCACUCUUCGUAGGAGCAAGCAAAGAAGAAAACUAGAAGAAGCGUUUACAAUAUCCUAUAGCUUUUUUUUUUUGUUGAAAUAUCCUCUAGCCUUUUCUCUCUUUCUUGUAGGGAUAAAAUUGUUCUACAAGUUUAUUUAGCCCUCUGCUUAAGACAGGCUUAAGUAAGUCUUGGUGGCAAUUGGUCUCACUUUCCUAUGAAGACUCUAUUUCCAAAACAAGGUAAAAGAUCAACAUCAAAUUGGGAAAAACAAUUUUCUGCACACCUAGCAACUUGGGAUUUCUACACCUACUACCAUUUUUUGCUUGCAGCCCAGCAGGUGUGAGGGCAUAUGCUGAGCCAAAAAUAAUCCUAAAAGUCUAGAAGACGAUGCAUGGACUUUAUCUCAAGAAGGACAAGAUCGUCCUCAUUAAAUGGUUAGGGCUCUUAAAUACUACCACGUGCAACUCAGCAUCCCUAAAGGUCCAAGAGCAUCCCUAAAGGUCCAAGCAAAUGACUACGAUUGCUUAAAGCUCCCCUGUUCGUGCAUUGAAAAGUCAAAAGUAUUAAAGAUAAGGAUUAAUUACUAAAUUCUAUCUUUAAUACAAUCUCAAUUGAACCUCAACUCAAUCAAGUAAUGAAUCCCUAUCACUAUCAAUUAGGGACACUUCCACCAUUUGCCCAAUAUAUUUUCUCCUAAUUAAUAUCUUGGGAAUAUUAUUUCCUCAUGCAUUCAAAGGAUGACACACCUUGGCAAAUAGGAUGCCACCAUGUUUAGGGAAAAACCUUAACCCCAUGGUUGGCCACCUCCUCCUAUAAAUAACUCACUCUUUUCAAAGAAACUAACUUAGGCAUCAGAGAUCCAUUGGCCAAACUCUUCCCUCACCUCAAGGGCGCGUGAAGCUUUGGUCUUUGAUUAAAUGUGUUGAUUGUUUUGUAGGGACAAAUUCAUCAAGACUGAAGACGGUGGAUUUUUUUACCACAAUAGAGAGUCCCACUUUUGAGAGUUUCCUUAGUAUUUCUCUAAAAUAAAAAGCCUUUCUAGGGCUUUAGGCCAAAUCACAAACACGGGGAAGAGUUCCCUCUUUUUUGGAGCCAAUGUCUCGAAGAAAAUGAAACGAAGGUUGCUUGGCUUUUUAAUAUAAAAGCUAGGGAUGGGUUUGGGAAAUACUUAGGGCUUCAAUCAGACUUUGGGCUCUCUAAGAAAGUAAUUUUGAAAAUGUUCGUAGAAAAACUUGAAGGUAGAAUCAACGGGUGGGCUAAGCAUUUUCUCUCAAUGGCAGGCAAGGAAACUUCGAUCAAGGUAGUUGUUAUGGCACUGCCUGCUUAUCCCAUGUCUUGCUUCAAACUCUCGUACGUUUAUGUAAGGAAAUCAAAAUUCUGUUGGCGAAUUUCUGGUGGUGUGUCAAGAUGGCGAGAAGGAAGUACAUUGGGUGUUAUAGGGGAAGUUAACAUAAACGAAGCAAAGUGGUGGUCUUGGAUUCUGGAAUUUACUAACUAGAAACUCUAAUUGCAAAAAUUUUGUAGGAAAAAUAUCAUUCAGGGCAACCUUUCCUAUCUACAAAGAUUGGAAGGAAAUCCUCUUGGGCCUAGAAAGUGUCAGAAUCUGUAAAAGUUUGAUAGUAUUUGCAGCAAUUCAAAUCAGAGAGGAAGAGCUUAGAGAGAAGGAAAUGAAGAGACAGAUGAAGAAUGAUCAAAAUCUCAGAGAGAGCCAUUGUGCUCUUCUACGUGUGUUUUCAUUUCAUCACAACAAUACAAAAAUAACCGUUAGAGACGGAGAGAAUCUAGGAGAGCCUAUGAGUCAUCCAACCCUUCAUUAUAAGAACUUAUGAGAUCUUUCCACUUGCUCACAUCUGAGCCUUAAUACAUUAAGAGCUAAUCUCAACCAUUGAUUUCUAACAACUUAUUUUCACGAAGUCUAACAACUUGAUAAAAUAAAGAAAAUGACAGUUUAGACCUUAAUCAAUCAACAUUCCCUUCUAAGGUCUUAACUGAAAUUACUCCAAGCUUAUCCCUCAAGUUACAAAAUCUAUUUUUAGCUAAACAAUGUCAUCCACAUAUAUGGAAACAAUCAUUGUUCCAUGUCCUUCCUUAUGCUUCAUAAAUAGAGUACCUUCACUAGGAUUGUUUUCAAACCCACAUUGCAGCAAAUAAGUGUCAAUGUUGCUAUACCAAGCUCUAAGACCUUGUUUUAGCCCAUACAAGGCUUUCUUCAGUUUAUACACCUUAUGUUCCUCUCCCUUGACAAUGAAACCAUUAAGUUGGUCAAUGUACACCUCUUCUUCAAGAACCUCAUUCAGAAAAGCAAACUUUACAUCUAACUGAAACAAUCUCCACCCUUUCUGAGCUACCAAUGCAAUGAGAGUCCUUAUAGUGUCCAAUCUAGCCACAAGUACAAAAGUAUCAUUAAAAUCAACUCUAUGCUUUUGAGUGUACCCUUUGGCAACUAGUCUUGCCUUGUGUUUCUGUAUAGAGCCAUCCAAAUUUAAUUUGGUCUUGAAAAUCAAUUUUACUCUAACAAUGGGCUUGUCACUUGGUCUAUUAACCAAUUCCCAGGUGUCAUUCUUCUCAACAUAGAGAUCUCAUCCUUCAUUGCUUUCUUCCAAGCAUGAUCUUGAGAAGCUUCAUUGUAGUUUUCAGGAUCAAUGACAUUGAGUCUACACUGAGCAAACAUCUCAUUCAAAUUCCUCCACUUCUUUGGUGUGUUAUCAUAUGUCUCAAUGACUUGGAUUCCACACUCUCGAUUCACAGUUUUAGAAUCAACUUUGUCCACAUCAAGUGGCAUUAUCAACACAUGUGUUUGGAGAUUUCAACUUAGAGGCAUAUAUGUUAGACCCCUCACAUGCACCAUUUUCAAUCUCAGUUAUACUCACACCUUCAUUUGCAUUUGAGUAGGGCAAAUGGAUAUGAAUUGUCUCCAUAUUCUCCCAAUUAAGCAAAACACCUUCAUCAAAGAUAACACUUUUGGAAACAAUGACUUUGUUGCUUUUCAGAUCAAAUACCCUAUAGCCCUCCUCUCUUGUCCCAUAUCCAACAAAUACACCUUUCUAGUCUAUUUUAUCUAGUUUUUGCCUUAACUGAAUUGGAAAUAAGUGAAACACACAGAACCAAAGAUUGUCAAAUGUGUUACCCCUGGAUUUCUUCCACUGAACUCUUCAAAAGGAGUUUUGUUCGCUAACACUUUGGUAGGACAUCUAUUCAAAAGAUAGAUAGCAGUGUGAACUGCUUCACCCCAGAAUUUAAGAGGUAGCUUCUUUCUUUCGAUACCAUGUUAGAGUCUGUAAAAGUUUGAUAGUAUUCACAGCAAUUCAAAUAAGAGAGGAAGAGCUUAGAGAGAAGGAAAUGAAGAGAUAGAUUGAGAAUGAUCAAAAUCUUAUAGAGAGCCAAUGUGCUCUUCUGCAUGUGUUUUCAUUUCAUCACAACAAUAAAAAAAUAACCGUUAGAGAAGGAGAGAAUCUAGGAAAGCCUAUGAGUUCAUCCAACCCUUCAUUACAAGAACCUAUGAGAUCUUGCCACUUGCUCACAUAUGAGCCUAAUACAUUAAGAGCUAAUCUCAACCAUUGAUCUGAAUUCGCACCCGUUGUUUGCAACCCGAACCCAUAUGUGCAUUGCACUCGGAGUCACCUCUGCAGUUUGCACUUGCUCUUGUUUUGCGCAAAUUGAAGAAAGACCCAUGAGGAAGAAAAAAGUAAGAGAGAAAACGAAAAUUGGAAGAGAGAAAAAGAAAGAAAAAAAAAGAGAAAAGCAAAAAAAAAGGAGGAGGAAAAGAGAAGUUUGUCUAUUUUGAGUUUUUUGGGCCACGUGGUUGUGUGGCUCACAUUGGAUGAUGUGUGAAUGGUUAUAGUUGUUGUCUGGCUUGCAACGAUCGCUCGACUGCUUGGACUGGUGACCACUCAAGUGACAUUGAGAAUGUGGUAAGUUGAAUUUUUUUUCUUGUUUGUUUAGGUUUGUUCUUAGGCUUGACAUUGGCAUUGGGGAAGUUUGCACUAGCAUUGGUACUGACAAUGGAAUCUUGCACUUACAUGGAUGGAAUUUUGUAUUGGAAUUGGCAUCAGAACUUAGCAUAACGGAGCUUACAUCCACAUCGUAUGUUGGCAAACUCAUUUCGUGUACCACCAUAAGUUUGACGGGGGGGGGUGUUGGGAAAUAUUAGUAUUUAGGUUUAUUUUCAUGUUUGGUUCCUAUUCGUAUUAGGUUUCGUUUCCUUGCCUAUUAGGGUUAGACUAGUUUUCUAUAUAUAUAGUACCUUGGAGUUUUAUAAGUGUUUCGACAUUCUUGUUUGUUUAAUAAUGUUUUAAUAAUUUAUAAUUUUAUUCGUCGCGCACUCUGAUAUUUAACUAUCAUUGAAACGGAUGCGAAGCUUAUAUGCAAGAUGAUCAAUAAGGAGUUGAAAGUGGAUUCAAAUGUGGAGUGUAUUCUCCAUGACUUAUAGUCUAUCCUGAACUCUUUUAGAUCCGCCAAAGUUGUUUUUUGUCACCGGAUUUGUAAUAAAGCUGCCCCAUGUUGCUCAAUUUUUUUUUCAAGAAUGAAGGCUUCCAUAGCUGUUAAAAAAUAAAAUAAAAUACAAAGCCUUCCUAGGUAUAGAAGGAGGAGCUACGGAUUAAAGAAUUUGAUGUGCAGCAAAGGGUUCGAUAAAGACAUGAUACAAGGAUUCGAAUUUUAUCCAUUUUAUAUAUUUUUUUUUUUUUCUGUUUGAAUUUUUGGAAUUUUUUUUAUUUCCUUUUUCCUAGAGGUUACAAAUUCUAAUGGCCGGUCCUGAGUACAUUAUUGUAUUUCAAAUUUUUACGACAAAAACACCCUAAAUAAUUUGGAUAUUUGCCUCCACACAUGUAUAACGUUGUGAAAUCAGCUUGAUUGACGUGGUAAUAAAGUUCCAACUGCAUCUUUCCUUAAAAAAAAAAAGGAAAGAAUUGUGUACCAUCCAGAAACGAAUCAAAGGGCAUCGCCAUUAGCACAAGUUUCCAUAUGUUACGUCAUCUUUUGCUUUCUCUAUGACGUCAUAAUCCACUGAAACAAUUUUUUAGGUGCAUAAAACUGUUGACAUCGAAUUUAGUGGAGUGUUGAUCAACUUACAAUAUGAAUGCAUGAUAUGUGUUAAAGCGGCGCGACUUUGUGUCUGAUAUUCUUUUUCAAAGUCUUUAUUUGAAUAGAUUUUAGUCUCUGAUCUUUUUUCUCUUUUUUUUUUAACGAUUUAGUCUCUGAUAUUUGAAAAGAAAACAAGCGAUAUAAUUUGAUGGAACUUACUAUUUUGUUUUGAAAUUUUUUUUCUUUAUUCUUUUUUGCUUAAAUUUUGUUUCCUUCUUAAAAGAAAAAAUUACCAAAUAAGUUUUUUAUUUCCGUUUUUUAAGAAGAGUAAACUAAAAACUAAGUUGCUUAAUAACUAUUUUGUCAAAAAAAAUUCAGAAAAAAAAAUACUUAAAAAAUUGUUGUCAGCACAAGAAAGCCGACCCAAUAUAAUCCCAGCUAUGGAAGCCUUCAUUUCUUGUUCUGUACUUUUCAAGAAUGAAGGCUUCCAUAGCUGGGAUUAUAUUGGGUCGGCUUUCUUGUUCUGUACUUUCUUGUCAGCACCUGUCACACGCACACUCAGCUUUGCGGAAAUUAUGGGCAUUUUGUCGAAGACUUCUGGGGAAGUAGAAAACACAUGAAUCUUACUGUUCAAUCACCCACUUCCCACACGCAACAAUAGCUCAUGGAUACCACAGAUAACUUUGCUAAAGUUCUCUGCCAAAGUUGAGCACGUGAAGCUUGCAGCACUACAUCGCUCUGACCAAGAAGGGUAAAAGAAUAGCAAAGAAACAGCACUAACAAAGUUUAGACCCAUAAAUUUUGAAGGUCUAGCUACCAUAUUAUUACCCACAAGGGUAAAGGAACAGUACCACUGCUGGAUAAUUGGAAAGUCCCUGUGUGUCAACCUCUGUGCUUCGUGGCAAGGUAGACUAGCAAACAUGCCCAACCUUUACUCACAUUCGAGAAAACACUCCCAACAAGAUUGCUUGCUCCAAAAUCGAAGAGGCACCGUCCUCCGAAUCUCGAGAGCCAGACUCCCAACAUGAUUACUUUCUCAAAAAUCGAAGAGACACUGCUCCCCGAAUCUUCGAGAGCCAGACCCCCCAGCAUGAUUGCUUUCUCAAAAAUCGAUGAGGCAUCGUUCUCCGAAUCAAUCGAAGAGGCGCUCGCUUUCUCAAAAGCUGGGCUGCUCAGAGACCACGAGGGCCGAUCUCAGAAAUCGAAGAGGCACCUACUUUUCUAGCCUUGUCAGCACCCAUCACACGCAACAAUAGCUCAUGGGUACCACAGAUAAUUUUGCCAAAGUUCUCUGCCAAAGUUGAGCACGUGAAGCUUGCAGCUCCCACUACAUCGCUCUGACCAAGAAAGGUAAAAGAAUAGCAAAGAAACAGCACUAACAAAGUUUAGACACAUAAAUUUUGAAGGUCUAGCUACCAUAUUAUUACCCAUAAGGGUAAAGGAACAGUACCACUGCUGGAUAAUUGGAAAGUCCCUGUGUGUCAACCUCUGUGCUUCGUGGCAAGGUAGACUAGCAAACAUGCCCAACCUUUACUCACAUUCGAGAAAACACUCCCAACAAGAUUGCUUGCUCCAAAAUCGAAGAGGCACCGUCCUCCGAAUCUCGAGAGCCAAACUCCCAACAUGACUACUUUCUCAAAAGCGAAGAGAGGGUAAAGGAACAGUACCAUUGCUGGAUAAUUGGAAAGUCCCUGUGUGUCAACCUUUGUGCCUCGUGGCAAGGUAGACUAGCAAACAUGCCCAACCUGUACUCACAUUUGAGACAACACUCCCAACAGGAUUGCUUGCUCCAAAAUCGAAGAGGCACCGCCCUCCGAAUCUCAAGAGCCAGACUCCCCAACAUGAUUACUUCCUCAAAAAUCGAAGAGACACUGCUCUCCGAAUCUCGAGAGCCAGACCCCCAGCAUGAUUGCUUUCUCUCAAAAAUCGAAGAGGCAUCGUUUCCGAAUCUCGAGAGCCAGAUACCACAGACCACUUUUUCAAAGUGCUCUGACAGAGUUAAAACAUGUGAAACUGGCAGCUCCCACUACCGUGCUAUGACCAAGCAGGGUAAAGGAAUAGCAUUACUACUUGUUGUUAGGGAGACUCCUAUAUAUGUCGACCUCCAUCCCCAACGGACAGGCAGACCUGCAAAAAUGCUCAACCCUUCAUCAUAUCUGAGAGGGCACUCCCAACGAAGCCUUUCGAAAUAUUCAGCUUUCUUUCCCCCCGAUAAUACCUCUGCAAACAAGCUAUACUAGAGCAAGAAUAUCUCAUAUCAUCAGGGUUAAAAGCAAGAGUAUCCCAUAUCAUGCUUUUUCCCUGUCUUUUCCCUUUGGCCUUGUUUUUACCUGCAAGACAAGGAGAAAGAGCAAUCAGUCAGCACUUGGAAUCAGGCUUCCAACCAGGAACUGACUGCCUGGAACCCCUUACCUGAUUACUUACCUGGCAUUGCUCUCGAGUACUCAUCUUCAACAUGUUAUGUUUCCAGGGAAGAUUCCGCAUCUGCUUGAGGAACAGAUAGGGCAAGUGCGAAGGAUACAAGGAAGCAUGUGGAGACAAGCGUAACAGCACACGUGCCGAUACAUCCAUUACUCUGUCAAAAGCAAAAGUAUCCCAUAUCAGCAGGGUGGAACGUACUCUAGAUUUGAUGGACUUGUUUUGACCCUCAAAUUCUUCAGUCGGCCUUAUACUCUGGAGGAAACCAGAAAACCCUCCAGCUCAGUUCAAGAAUAAGCCUGUGGAAAGUUACUUCUUCAAAAGCAAAAGUAUCUCAUAUCAUCUCUUCUCAUUUUUCUUCUCUUUAUCCUUCAUGCUGCUGCAAGAUGGGGAGAAGGUGAACAAUCAGUCAGAGCUCUGAUUGCUUACCUUGUCUGUCACCUCUUUCAGCAGACCCCCUAGCUCGGCGACUUGGGGGACUCCUCCUACAUGGUUUGUAUCGCGCUUGACCAAGCCUGAAACUACAAGUAAGCUUCAAGUGAAAUUGAUACAUUACCUUGUGCAUCUCCACCAGUUAAAGAUACCACCCCUGGAUGGAGGAAGAGUACUUCCAGAGAAGAUGCCACAUCUACCUAUGAGACAGAUAAGGCAAGUCAAGACGACACCACACUCCGAUACUUAGAAGUUUCGUGAUUACGAGAUCAUUCUCCCACAAUAUUUCCUAAUGUCAUUUGUACUAAAUCAUUCACUUGUACUCACUAAAGGAGAGCUUGAACCUAUGUACUUGUGUAAACCCUUCACCAUUAAUGAGAAUUCUUCUAUUCCGUGGACGUAGCCAAUCUGGGUGAACCACGUACAUCUUGUGUUUGCUUUCCUAUCUCUAUCCAUUUAUAUACUUAUCCACACUAAUGACCGGAGCAAUCUAGCGAAGAUCACAAAAAGCAACCAUUUUCGCUACCUAGGAUCUAUCUUGCAAGAGAACGGAGAAUUAGAUGGAGAUCUCAACCAUAGAAUACGAGCUGGAUGGAUGAAGUGUAAGAGUGCAUCCGGCGUGUUGUGUGACCGUCGUAGGCCACUGAAGCUCAAGAGAAAAUUUUAUAGGACGGCAAUAAGGCCAGCGAUGUUGUAUGGCACAGAAUGUUGGGCGGUGAAGCAUCAACACGUACACAAAAUGGGUGUAGCGGAGAUGAGGAUGCUUCGUGGGAUGUGUGGGCACACGAGAAAGGAUAAGAUUGGGAAUGAGGAUAUCCGAGGUAAAGUAGGAGUAGCCGAAAUUGUAGGAAAGAUGAGAGAAAAUCGGCUCCGGUGAUUUGGACAUGUGCAAAGAAGGCCGACUGACGCUCCGGUUCGAAGAUGUGACUACGGGACAGAGGUUCAGGGCCGAAGGGGUAGAGGAAGACCUAGGAAAACUUUGGAAGAGACUCUAAGAAAAGACUUAGAGUACUUGGAUCUAACGGAGGACAUGACACAAAACCGAGCGCAAUGGCGUUCUAGGAUUCAUAUAGCCGACCCCACUUAGUGGGAAAAGGCUUUGUUGUUGUUGUUGUAUUCUUUUUUGCUUAAAUUUUGUUUCCUUCUUAAAAGAAAAAAUUACCAAAUAAGUUUUUUAUUUCUGUUUUUUAAGAAGAGUAAACUAAAAACUAAGUUGCUUAAUAACUAUUUUGUCAAAAAAAAUUCAGAAAAAAAAAUACUUAAAAAAUUGUUCGGUAGUUGUUUUUCAGUUAUUGGUUUCUAUAAAAUGGAAAAUGAAACCAAGAAACAGAAAGUUAUUUUUGUUUUCAAAUUUGGCUUAUUUUAGUUUUCAGUACAUUCAAAGCUAUUUUUCUUGGUCAAGGCAAAAUUUCAAUUAAAGGAUGAUCACUUAGUUGGAAAAGAAUAACAGUCACAAACAAUAUGAACAAAGGAGCACACAAGAAAACUGAUUGGGACACGGUGAAAAGGAACAAACAAAUCAACGCGCCGAAAUGGAGAAAGUCUCAAGUACUUGUCGUCGUGGUCCUCUUUCAAGUAAAUUACGAGAAAUCUUCAUGAUGUUUCGAUCCUUUGACCAAUAACAAGUCUUCCGCUAGAAAUUGAAAACACUAACCCUAAUUAAGCUCUUUGAAAUUUAUUGGGACAAAGUAACACUGAGUCGAAAAAAAACUUGUGUGGGGCUCAAUGUGCCCCUUUUCAUUGUCUUUGUCAUGCCCCCUAAUGAGAUGUUUGUCCCUCGACCGGAAAAGUUUCAAUUGCAAUUCUCAAGGUGGGAAAAGAACUUUAAUAUGGGUUGUGUUCGGGUUGGAUUUCUAGAUAUAGUCCCUCACACAGCUCUCGGGGCUCUGGCUCUUUCUUGCCUACCGAGCAAGAUCUUGCUACUUGGUGUGCUGCAAUACAAGUUUAUUGUUAGUUUGAAAGGUGCCUUUGUGGGGCCUUUGGUUUAGACCUUGAGGUUCACAAUCAAAACAAACAAGGAUCUGAGUGUGCCACUGUUAUCUUUAUAUAACAUAUUGUUGAAUAGGUGCGAAUUAGGUUGAUUACUUGCGCUACAAGUUAUUUAGACUUCUUGCUUAUCAAGGAAUUGUCACAGAUAGGUUAAGUCUGUAUAUGGUUCUUUUCUUGCCUUGUGAACAAGAACUUUUAAUUCAUAGCAUUGUAUGUCCAAAAUGAAGGGGGUUCAGGACCCUUUCCAACCGUUUCUUGAUAAAAGUUUGUUUUACUGAAACCAGGUUCAUUGACUUAUCCAAAUUUGAUUGCAGAUAAAACUUUUAAGUGUAAAACAAUGGAAAAUGAUUUAAAAACAUGAAGGAAAAUGCAUUAAACGACAUAUCUACUAUAUGUAAGUACAAACAAAAGAGAGUCUGGUAAGAUUUAACCUUGUCGGGUAAGGUUCAACUUCUUGCAACCACUUCUCUUUGUGUUUACAAGGGUUUUUUCUACUCUGGAGGAUGAAAAGUAAAAGGGUUUCACUAGAGGGAAUCAAUACUACAACAUUAGGGGAAGGUAGCAAAGCUUCUAAUCUCAACAAAAGAUGACUUUUUAUGAGGGAACUAUAGUUAAAAAGGGCCGGAUCUGGACAAAAUUCAGCUUUCUGGGUACAAACUUGUUUGUGUACGAAGUUUGUAUGUCUUUUGAUUGGUUGGGUUGAGUAUCCUUAUCUCUGGUGUCCGUCUUUGCUUUUAUAGACAAUUUGGACCGACUGUCCAAGUUUUGCCUUUAGCUGAUAUCUUUCGGAGGGCAGUGAGUCCUCGUCUAUUUACUCAUCCAUGCCACUAAAAAGUGCUUUCUGGCUAAUUGUGAGGUGUUCUUUGUUGCCCAUCACUUCAAUCAUAGGCACGUGGCCUAUGCCUUUGCUGAAAUUGCUUCCAAUUCAUCUCGUGCCUAUCAACUUGCCCGAGCUCAACCUUCUAUUUGAUUUUGCAUCUUUGGGCCUUCAUUAUCACAAAGCCUAGUGUCAAAUAUAAACCCAAAUAGGUUAAUCAAUUUCCUAAGUAAGGGAUGCUUGUUGCUUUGAUCCUUUUCUUCCAAUUAAUGUGUUAAAUCUCCCUUGUCUUCAAAGAAUUGAAAUCCCAUCACUUCAUAUUUUCUCUCAGUGGAUUAAUUGGAAUUGUACAGACUUUGGUCUUGAAAGCAACUACAUAUGAUUGAACCCAGAUUCGUUCUCUUGUUUUUUUUAAUUAGUGAGGAAUGAUUUUCUACAAACAGGAAUAUUUCUCCCUUAGUUUCAAAGAAUUGUGCUAACCAUGAUAGAAAAAUCUAUGAGAAUGGAAACAUAUAAAGAUCAUUCCCUAAUUUUUUUUUUUUAAUGAACAAUAUUAUCUACACUAAGGAUAAGGGGGAUAGGCUUAGCCUCAUCAAUGGGCUACCAAUAAUGUAGUUCAAAUUCGUCUUUGGCGAUAAUCGAACCUAAAAUCUCUCACUUACAAAUAAAAAGGAAUACCGCUAGAUUGUAGUACUAAGUAGCAUUCCCUCAAAGUUUAGUCAAACGAUACUUGACAUCGGCUCGAUAAGGGAGGGGUGAAUUCUCAGGUGGAGGAGGACUUCGGUUGGGUGAUUGGAGUCGAUUUUAAUUUUAAUUUAUCUGAUACUAGUACAAAAAAACAGUUUGUGUGACGCAGGUACCUUUGUCGCGCAAAGUCAAAAAACGUUGCCUAAAAAUUAGCCCAACAAUAAUUAAUCUUAUUCCAACUGUAGCGCUAGUAACCUACGUCACGCAAAGACACUUUGCCUAACGCAUGUCUCUCUGUCGCGCAAAACUACUUUGCGCGAUGUAGGUUAUCCAUCACACAAAGACACUUUGCGCAACGCAGGUUACUACUUUGUCACGCAAACUGUUUUUUUUUCUUUGGCAAAAAAUAGUUUUUAUUUAAUUUUUAAUAAAUAUUGUAAUAAAUUCUAAACAAUAAUUAAUAUACCAAGUAUUUAAUUAUAAAAUAUAUGAAAAUGUACAUACAAGAUGUUCGAAUAUAAAAGAAAAAACUACAAGAAGUAGUCAUCUAGGCUUGAUGCAUCAAGCUACUGGGUAUCAGUUGGGCGAAGUAGCUGGGAUGUCAAAGGUGGAGCAAGAUAAGGUGCUGGCAUUGGGAUUUGGAGGCCGGACAUCCAUAAGGCCAGUAAAAUCAUACUCAUUUUCUCGUCCUGGGCCAAAAACUACGCUGCAAUCUCGACUUCCUGCCCGAGCUGCUGCUUCGACCUCCCGUGCUACUUGUUAGGCCGCAAGUUAACCUUUUAGGGUUGCCACUUCCUCUGUCAAGGCAAUGACCUUUCCUAUGGUUGAUCUGGAAGAUGAGGCACCCGUCUCACGAACCCGCGCCUUCCCCAUACACCGAACAACCUUGCCAUGACGACGAUCGAGCUUCUGAGCAACAACAACGAGUCACCAAACUAGGAAUGCUAUAUACCACCAGAAAUCCGCUUGCAAAUAUGAUUCACUAGUCAUAACACAAAUAUCCAAUUUCUGAAAACUACUUUGAACCCAAGUCCUAAUAUUUCACGAAACACAAAAAUUAAAAUCCAAGAAAUGCCCUCAUAACCAACCAACCAUAUAUAUCCAAACCAAGUAGCAAUGCAUAUAUUUAAAUACAACUGAUUAAAACAAAUUAACCAACAAAACAACCCGUGUAAAAAGAUAAUGCGAAAACAUAGAAGCAACAAUAGAGGAAUAUUUGUACCAGUAAUUCUCUGAGAUAAGCCAACACUUAGCAAAAUCCAACAAAUGCCAAGAUACAAACAAGUUAUCCUAAAUCUAAUCAGAAGACCAGGUAUGCUCAGAUUGAGGAACCUAAGGUUAAUGCACAAGAAAAAUGAAGAGAAAUAUACUUGGAAAGGAAUAUUUACCACAAUCUAAUCACCGAAAAUAAUGCAGCAUGUUUUAAAAUUUCAACACAUGCUUAGAACAAAUUGCUAUCAUGAACACUAACAAGACUAUCUGCUAAGAGAAAAAUCAAAAUGAGAAAUCAACAAAAGAUAAACUACUUAUAUAUCAACCAGAAUUACAACCCAAUUCAAAAGAAUUGGGGUUUAACUCCAUGACCAUGUCCAUUUUGCGCUUUUGGGAAAUGACCCACUAACUGAGCAAUCUAAUUGAAAUCUAAAUUCUGAUAUCAAAAGUCAAACUACAAAUGCGCACCAUGACCAUAGAAUCUAAGGGAGAAACUGUAGAGAGAAAUAAAAAGACUUACGUCUAUCUCCGGUAAAUACCCCUAGCUUAGCAGACAAAUUUUUCUUGAACAAAUUAAACUUGGGAACCAAGUCCUUUGCAGCAGGGCCACCAUCAACACCAAAUUCAUUAAACCUACAUAUACAGAUGUGCCAUCAACACAAAGGAACAUUAUAUUGUUUUAAUGUUAGUUAGCCACUUUCGAGCAUUUUUCCGGCCAAACCAAGGCGAGUUAGCCAUCGAGAAAGGUACCGUUAUCUUCGUCUCAUCGAGAAGUAUGAGUUUUGUUUUGAAUCACUCGAUUUCGUUGAAUAUUGAAGAAGUUAUGAACAUUUAAAGUUUACCCAGUUUCCGGCGAGUUUUCCAGUUUUCCGGAGAAUUAGUCACCUUUCAGGCUAUUUUUCGACCAUCUCCGACAACCAUUGGGCUUCCAAAUAGUUGUAAUCUUGUUCUACACUUUUCUAUCUUCAUUUUGAUAUAUUAUGGGUCGAAUUUGGUUAAGAAUCGAUUGAGUCACAAAGCUUUGAAAAUUGCCCAAAAAGUUUUUAACGAAAGAAUCAAAAUCAUGGAUGGUAGACAAUCUUAGGGACCAUUUAUAUUGAUUUUGAAUCUCAUGGACCAUUUCUAUUGAUUAUGCAAAUCUCAUGGACAUUUUGGAUAGAACAUGACCAUAUUGCCAGACUUCAGUGUUUAUAACAUUUCAUAUUUUUCUAAAAGAAAAGAGGAAAAAAGAGAGCUAUUAACGAUGAAUUGGCCAGUAAGUUCUUUUAUAAUUAAUCAUGAUGGAAGGGUGGUGCUUGGCAGAAAAUCCAAAAAAGGAAAAAGAAUAUUGUUUUCGUUCCUGGCAUAUUGAUAUAAACAAAUAAAUAAGUUUUCACAUUGGAGAAGUUAAGGGAAUUAAUUCUUCAGCAAAAAGAAAAGGAGACCACUAAUUCUGAGUGUUUGAGACAGCUACUUACCACGCAACCCCCAAAGAGGAAAAUAUAUAAAAUACAGUUUCCCAGCCCAGAUUUUGGAUAAGGGGAGAAGCCAGAAGAAACCUGCGAGAAGUCCAAUGUUACAAAUGGGUUAUCAAUGAACGCGGAGUGCACAACAAAUAUAGACAUAAGAAAACCAAAUCUUAUUUAGAAUGACACCAAAAAUUAAAACAUCCUCAUGUUGUAUUCAGAAUCUCAGAUUCGACUUUUCCCUUUUCAUUUUUUAAUAUAAAUAAAUAAAUAAAUCUUCAAAAACCCCUGCAACACUUCCAGCUCGUGAACGCUCUUCCAAAGGUAUUGUCCUGCACCAGGUAAAAGAUUAUUAGGAUUCUCAAACACAAAGAAAUGGACCCGCUAGACAACCUGAGUUUGAACAAAAUAAUGCUUCAUGAACACCACCUAUGAAUCUAUGAUGGACCAAACUAAAUAUAAGAAUGUCAUACAUGCCUGGCAAUAAGGUCUGUUGCGGCAGAUGGGGAAAUGCCUUCUCUAAUUCCUACCUGUACUUCAAAGAAAACAGCUCUCAGUAACAGGUAGGUUUGAUACUCAAACCAACAAUAAGUUGGAAAUCAAGAACGAAAACAAAAGGCUAAACAAAGUUGAACUGAUUUACAAGAGUCUUUAGUAAAUAGAAUAUAUUGUAAAUGAGCGUACCAAAAUUCUUGACAAAAACUAAACCAGGUGUAAAUCCAGCAACAAGAGGGACAAGUGCCGUAGCCAAAGACCAAGUUAACACUCCAAACUCAAGAACUUUUCUGCAUAGAAGAAAAUGAUAGAUGAGCAUGCAUACCUGUCCCGGCCAAAAGAUCAAUAAACAAGCAUUUGGGGAUUGAACCAAUCCCGCCCCGGAUGAACUGCAUAGUUCUGAGUAUAAAUAAAUAACAUAAUAAAAACUUGAAACGAGCUUUUAAAAAAUAAACCUCCCACUAAAUAUCUUAGCAAGCCAACCUCCGGGCAACUGACUCAAUGCAUACCCCCAAAGCAACGAUGAUUGAACCAAUCCCGCCUCGGAUGAACUCCAUCCAAACUGGUGAUGUUCGCAUCAGGAAUUUCCGUCGGGGACGUUUCCUGGCCGACGAGCGCACAGCUCCCCGGGAGGUUGGCGCCGGUUGAGGGCUGUUGUUGGGCUUCUGCUUCACUGUCGGGCUUUGUCGGGCAAGGCUUAUCGGGCAAGACUCGUCAGGCACGGCUUGUCGGGUAAGGCUGGAAGAGAAGGACAACGUUAACUUUGAGAGGUGCCUUUGUGGGGCCUUAGGUGUAGGCCUUGAGGCUCACAAUCAAGAUUAACUUCUAAGUACUCAGGCGUGCCACUGCCAUCUUUAGCAUAGCAGAUGUAAAAUAAAUGUCACGUUUUAGUUGUAUAUAUAUAUAUAUAUAUAUAUAUAUAUAUAUAUAUAUAUAUAUAUAUAUAUAUAUAUAUAUAUAUAUAUAUAUAUAUGCCCGAGAAACCGUGUUAGUUAUAACAGGUGCCUUUGUGGGGCCUUAGGUGUAGGCCUUGAGGCUUCCCAUCAAUAACUAAACCAGUGCUCGAACAUAUAAUAUUCGUUCGAUUGAUUGCAGGAGCCUUACAACUAUUAUACUUCUUAUUAUCCGAAUAUGAGAGAUAGAACGAACCCAAAUAGGUGCCUUUGUGGGGCCUUAGGUGUAGGCCUUGAGGCUUCCCAUCAGAAUUCGUUAUUAUACUCAAACGUUCUAGACCGCGGAAUGGAAUGAAUCCAAAUAGGUGCCUUUGUGGGGCCUUAGGUGUAGGCCUUGAGGCUUCCUAUCACAAUCCAUUCCAUGCUUAAGCGUUCUAUGAUAAUCAUAAUAUAAUAGAAAUAAAACUAAGGGGUAGGUCGAUUACUUGCGCCCCAAGUAACUUCAGACUUCUUGUUUAUCAAGGACUAUCGUGGAUGGGUUAAGUCCACAUAAGGUUCUUUUUUAUGCCUUGAGGCCAAGGAUUUUCAACUGAUCAAAUUUACAUGCCCGAGGGCUUAGAACUUAGAUCUGGUUUGAACAAUGAAGAUAUAUUCAAAUCGGAUCCAAGUACUAAGAGAUUCUUUUAAUGGUCAUCUUACUAGAAAUAACUUGAAUACAACUAGAAGUAUACAACAUAUUGCUAGGCUAAUGAAUGAAAAGACAAAAACAAAGAAGGUCGGGCAAGGUUUAACCUUGUCGGGCAAGCCUGGUUGUCUUGCAGGUUCCUAUCUUUGUGGCUUAUCAAGAGUCUGAGAGCUUUUAGGGAGAGGUAAGGAGAGGAGUUUACAAAGAGAAAUCGAUACUACAGCAAGGUUGAACAGGGUAGCAGAGCUAUUACAAAGGUUUGAGUGAAGGCUUGUCCCGAGAGGGAUGAAGGCUUGGGCUGACUACAGCUUCGUUUUGAAGGCAAAUCUGGCUUUAAGCAGAGUUUGUGCUUGCAUUUGUUUGUUUGUUUGAGUGUCCUUAAUCCUGAUUUCUCUUUCUUCUUUUAUAGACAACUCAGCUUGGCCUCUUGUAGCAGCAGCCUUGCCCGAAUGCAACUUGAGAGGCAGUGACUCAUCAGCUUUUUUACUUGUUCUGCCAUUAUAAAGUACUUUAUGGGCUGUAUAGCUGGUCAGUCUAUACCACUUGGCUUUUGGGUAGGUGAGCAAGUGGUUUUCAUGAGCUGCACCAAGUCAGAAAAGCCCCUUUUCUGCUUUCUGGGUUUUGGCUGGGUUUAGGCCGGCUCUUCCUUUAGGCAUCCCUUAGGGCCAGCCCCUUUCCUGAGCCCAAAGUUCAAGUUUUGAUCCAAACAGUGCCCCCUUCAAUUGAUAUUUAGCCUGGAAUUCCAGGCGCCAAUAUUGAUUGAAAAGCUCCUUAUUAAAACCCAUGAAUUCCUUGCAUUCGAACCCUCCAAUCCCCUGUGUUCACGAUAAGAGAUCCCUCUGUAACUUAAACGUUUCCUAAUUCUCCCAGUUAUUUCUUUAAAUCUUUCAGAUUUUUUUUUCACUUUUUUGCUCGAUAUCUUUCACCCUCGUCAUCUUCUUUGGUAUCCCCCUCUCAAACUUCAUCAAAUGGCUUCGGGAUCUAGCCAAACCCAACCAUCCUACGUAUCUGGCGAAGGAAUCGUCACUCUGUGUCGUCUACUCAACGGACUGCAUCGCCCUUGGGCAGGCUUGCAUUCCGAGCUCUUCUUUGAGGUGCAUGGGGCACAAUCAUUGGGUCCCGCAUGGAUCUCUCGGGUCCCUUCAGUGGUAGAAAGCAACAUGCCCAGGGAUAAUUGGUUUUCCCCAAAUCCCUUUUUGGCUAGGUCAGGCAUCUCUUCAUCCAAAUGGUCGUCAUAUCGUCGAGGCUUUCCUCUGAUGAACAAUCCUGCUUGGGCUCAGUGGAUUGAUGAAUUAGAGCCCACCUUUAAGCAGAAAUGGAUGAGUAAUGGUAUUUACGAAUUAAUCAUGCUCUCGAAAAUUUCCAUUACUCCCAAGCCCGAAUAGCUUGCUUCUGCCCUCAUUUUCUGGAAUUCGGGCACGAAUACUUUCGACUUCCGCAUGGGCCGCAUGUCACCAACCAUUCUUGACAUUGCCCAGGUCUUCGGGUUAAGGCCAUCGGGCAGGAUAGUGGACGUUACUCAAGACUGGGUUCCUUCCUCUACCAUUGGAAGCUCAGGUUCAUCCACUACUUUCCUUUCUUUGAACUAUAACUCUGCAACUUUCAAGAGUUAUGGGACCUCCUUCAAAGGCUUCAUUCCUUUCGUAAAGGAAAAUUUUGGGGCAAGCUCUCCUCGGGUUGAUAAAGAUCAAGAGCACAUGUAUUUCCUCUUAUACUGGCUCAACAAACAUAUCUUCCCCAACAAGUCUAAAGGGGUGAGGGUUGAAUGGAUCCCCUUAGUAGAAGUUCUUCAUAAUUUCAAUGAUGUAGCUACAGGCCCAUUCCUCCUUUCUCAUCUUUAUCAUCUCCUUUUUGAAAUGACUCAAGACGAGCCAUUUGAGACCAACUUGAAUGGGCCUAUCUGGAUGAUACAAACCUAGCUUCAAUGGUACUUCCCAGAGUUUCGGGCUGCCAAUUUGGAGUUCCCGGAGGGUGUGGCCCCUGCCCGAAUCUUGGCUGAAGCUGCCCCUAUAGAUCACUCCACCUUUGCCUGUUUCUACUUUUUCAGAGUUUGUAGAACUCGAUCAGAUUUAGAAUGGGGUGCGUCGGUCUUGAGAAGAUACCCUUGGUUUUCUGAUCAAGUCUUUCAAGAUGCUCCUGGUGAAGAUGCUACCCCCUCUUGUAGGGAGAAAUUCAUUAGCUGCAUUCAACCAAGAGACCUGGCCUGGGGAGUUCGGGGUAAUAGAUAUGACCGAGGUUUGGAGGUGUAUCAUCCUAACUUUUGCAGCAGGCAGUUAGGAUUCAAGCAGGCUAUUCCCGUCCCGUUCUUCGAUUCUAUCCAUUGUGGCACUUCAUUUCGACUACCAACUCCCUCUGAAGUGAUCUUCCGAGCUGCCCGACGCAGUCUUGACGUAAUGAGUCAGGCUACCCGAAAGUCCAUCAUCCUCAAUUUUGAAUGUACCUCGCUCUUCUCUUCUUGGUGGGAAAACAGAUGGACCAAGAAGUAUGGAGGAGAUUUGAAAGAGACUCAUGACCGCCUUUUCAGUCAACUUUCUCUUAAGUCAUACCCCGGCUCGGGCGAGCUUGAAAAUUGGAAGGAGAUGAUCCAAGAGAAGAAUCGGUCACUUCUGAUAGAUACUUCUCUUUUUAUCCUGAUUCUGUUUCCUUUCUGAAGCCCUUCUAACCUUAAUUUUGCUUGACCUCGUAGCCCCAGUGGAUGUUGAAUCAGAAGCCGUUGAGUCCGAGGAUGACUCAGCUGAUGCUGCAGUUCUCCAUGGCGCUGCAGCAGAGGCUGAAAGACAAUAAGCUGGGGAAGGUGUGGAUGUUUCGGAAUCCUUUGGAGAUUCAGGAGCUGAAGAAACACCCGAGGCAAUUAUUAAAGCACCAAGCGAAAGAAAGCGGCUGUGAUCGAGGCUUCAGACCCUGAUCCUGUACUUCUACCUAAAACCACACGACCAACUCUUACUAGAAAGAGUAAGAGAGAGAACUGUUGCUCCUCCUAAGUCAUCAGCCCCAUCUGCUCCAGUCCACGAGGCAGGCAGAAAGAAGUAACAAUCUUCAAGUAAGUUUCUGUUCUUCUUUACCAAACUGUUACCUUUCUCCUUUAUCUAAUUGCUUCUUGUUUUCUUUGAAAAACAGGACCUCAAGCAUCUAAAAGACCAAUCAUUGCUUCUAAGGAGGAACCAUUAAGAUCUACCAUGCUCAAAAAGGCUGAAGAACUGCAAAAUACCGUCCUCAAAGAACUCGAGGUAUGAUUUAUAUUUUUUAUCUGCACUUCCCUUCUCGCUUUCACAUAACUCAAAAUCUGAUUAUUCGAAUCAGACCGCAAGAGAUGAAAAGCUUCUUCCGCCCGAGGCCUCCCCAUCAUUUGCCCGAGAAACCAGCCUUUCUCCUCCUCAGGUCAACCCUUCAGAGGUACCCUUUUCUUCCUUUUCAACCCUUAGGUAACUCUAUAGUUUCUAGACUUAGUACCUGAAUCUUUCUUCUUCUUCUAUCUGUUUUUAGGCUGGGGCAUCUGCCUCCUUGCCUAGUCAUGGCCCUCCUAUGAAUUUUGUGAUUUCUUCUCCUGCCCUGGAUGCAACUCCUUCCUCUCAGUUUGACCCUUCUACAGGAGUUAUGUUGCACUUCGUGGAUGAGGGCAGUAACUUGGUGAGCCAUUAUUCCCGAAUUGAAUUCCUGAUUAACUCCUACUCACGUUUUCUGCAGCCUUCUCCGGUAUAUGAGCCACCCCUUCCAUCAGUGGUAUCAGAUAAUAAACCCAUAGUCCCUGAGAUUCCUGUAACCUCAGAGGUAAUAGUCUCACGGGUGCCUGCGUGCCCAAUAGUGGAUAUUGAUGAACCUCCUUCUUCUCUUGCUGGUGGUGGAAAGUCUUCCCCUCAACGAGGAUUUAAUACUCUUCCUGGUGAAACCCCAGGGCUAAGUCAGGUACAUUUCUUAUCUCCAAAGCCUCUUUUUGCCUCAAACUGUAUCCUUGUCUUGACCUGGUCCUUUUGGUUUUCCGCAGCAAGUCCUGAAAGAGACUUCCCCCCCUCGUUUGGUCCGUAAGUCAAAGUACUCCCGUCCUCAUUUAUCUUCUGGAGGUACAGAGAUUCCCCCUUCUGGAAUUGAGAAAAUCAGGCAGACAGAGAUUGCCCCCCAGUGGGCAUUGCUCCAUUAGAGGGAGCUGCAGUGCAGGAUCCUUCUCCUUUUCCAUCCUCAAACCCUGCUAAGUUUCCCAAACUUUUUGAAGCACUUAGGCGACUUGAGACGAGGUUGAAAUCCUCAAGACAUACUUCAGCGACCUCCAAUUCUUCAGAGCAACAACGAGUCUUCCAAGAAUGGGCGAGGAAGGACUUCACUGCAUUAUUCAGCCUCAAGGCUAUUUGUGAUUUAGAAAAGGUCACAAUUGAGUCUUUCAAAACUGGUCGGUUAUCAAAACCUCAGCACGAUUCCUUUCUCUCUUUUUUUGAGAAUUUAAGGGUUCUUAGAGAGCAAUACCAGAGAGCUGAUAGACAAGCUAAUCGGGCAAAAUGCUUUAUGGAGAAAAAGUCAAGCAUCUCCGCUCAAGUUGAUCGGUUGAUGGAUAAAAGCUUGCGGACAAAAGAAAGGGUUAAAGUUGUUACUUCUGAAAUCCAAAAGCUGGAGGAACAACUGGUUGCUCUUAAAGCUAAACAAGCAACUCUUCUGGAUACCCUCGAAAACCAAAUUGAGGGAGUAGAGAAGUCAAACUCGGAGUUAGAGCAUACUAGGUCCCAACUUGUAAAUAGCCAUACUGUUUUGGCCGAACCUAGUAGGAUAUUUGCCAUUAUGCAGACAUAUCAUUAUCGAAUAGUGACCUUGAGUGAAGAUGUUAAUUUUUUAGAAUAGGAUGAUUUGUAACCCUUUUCUUAUUGGAAUGAACAUGUGUUUUGUCCCCUGCUCUGCUCUUGGUACUGUUUGAAUUGACUUCGGGCAACUCUUCCCCCCUUGAUUACUUUAUUCUUUCUUCCACUUCCCUCGUUAGCAACAAUCUUAGGGCCUGAUCUUGAUUCCUUGGCCCCCUUAAUGGUACUUUUAUUCAUGCAGGGGUGUUGGGACAACCCGAGAUCUCUUCUUUCCUCUGCUGUACCAACUGGUGACCCCGACUCUUCUUUUUAAAUGAGGUUGAUCAUACUGAUAGAAGCCUCCGGGAAAGGGUUUGUAUCCACCAUCAUACUGGCUUGGGGCUUGUCAAGUAACAACUUUCCCUUCACUAUCAGGUUUUGUAUCCAAUCUCUAAACUGGACACAAUUGACUAUGGAAGGGUUGAAGGUAUAGUGUAGCUUACAAUACUUCUUCCCUCUGAGUUCUUCUGGUUUGGGCAUCUUUUUGGUAUUGUAGGGCAAAAUUACUCUUGCCCGCACCAGUUCUUCAUAGUCUCAGGUGCCUUGGCCAGAUCGAACGAAUAACUUUGGUACUUGGGUGGUUUCAUGGGGACGAAACCACCAUCGUUCAUUACGAUCUUCUGAUCUUUGACAAGUUGGACUAGCCCUUUUAUCGUCAGUGGUUUGAAAGGUGUGGUCAUUUCAGCGGCACAUACGUCAAUGUCUUCUUCAUCAUGGCCACCCUCAUGCUCUGGCCUGGUUUCUCCUACUUUCACACGAUGAAUUGCAGCUUUGUUUUUGUAGAAGGGAGGGACCUUGGAAGUGUGCUUCACUUGUUGCUCUUCUUGCAACAGCCUCUCAUACUUAGUGGCAGCAAUUACCAAUUCUUGCACCUCGUUGAAUUGUGUAUCAUAAAAUAUCUUCCUCAAAGGUAAUUUUAGAGCCCUUUGAGCAAUUGAUAUGAGCUGCGCUUGGUUGACGGGGAAUUGGCAUUUCAUUCUUGUUUUCCUGAACCUCAUCAUGAAGUCCUCAGUAGAUUCAUGAUCGUAUUGUUUGACUUCAACAAGGUCAUUGAUAGUUAAUUCUGGCUCUAUUCUGUAAAACUGUUCGUGGAAAGGCAUCUCCAUUUGCCCCCAGUUGGCAAUAGAGUUAGAGGGUAAUAGAGAGUACCACUGAGAUGCUAAACCCGCCAAUGAAUUCCCAAACAACCUCAAUUUAUAAUUUGGGUUGCCCUCAUAUGCCACACAAUGAUUGGAGAAUUUGAAAAUGUGGUCUCUGGAGGACACGCUACUGUCUUCACCUGUGAACGUUGGAAAUGCAGGCAUCUUGAAGUUGAGAGGGAAUGGAUUUAGCUCGUCAAUAUAUUCAGGAUAAGGCUUUUGGUAAGUGACCCUGAACAUUGGGCGAGCCCGCGGUUGAGCAUUUUGAGCUACUGUCCUUCUUAGCUCAACCAAUUCUUCCCUCAGCUGCUGAGUAGCUAAAUUAUCAUCAUGACCGAUGAGAGCAGUUUCGAUCUUUGGGCUCCAGUCGUUGCCCGUACCUGUUUCUCUCCUUGGUUCGGGCUUCCUCCAGUUAGUUCCCCCUCCCUUAUUAGCCAAUGGGGUGGCCUGUAAGGUGGAGGUUUAUCUGAAGUAGUGGUGCCUUCCUUUCUGCUAGUCUCCCCUAUCAUUACAGGCAUUCCAUACUUCGUUCUCUCUUGCUCGCUCUACCUCCUAUUAUUAAACGAUAAUAAUGGGAAGCUGAGAGGCUCUUUUUCCAGAACUAGCUCUAUCAUAGGUUGACUCCCUUCAGGAACCACUUUAUUCUUUCCCUUAUCCUUUUCUUCUUCUAAUAGUGGGAAUAAGGGAAUGAUUGGUUCACUUCUCAUGGUAACUUGGCUCAUCCCACUUUCCUGAGCCCCUUUUGGAGUAGAAAACUCCAGAUCAAGUCUUCUCUGUAGAUUCCCUGUUAGUGUACAGAGCCUACUCACUUCUCCUUUGGUUUCCAAGGAGAUUAUUUCCAUGCUUUUUAGUACUUGGAUCAUAGUAGCUUGCAGUUCUUCACUAGUUCCUUUCCCUUCCGAUCUCUCAGAUGAAGUUGGGCUUUCUAGGACCACUCGUCCUGAAGGGGAAGAAGGAUCUCCUGAUUGAUUUGCCACAUGUAGGAGAAAAGGUAGAGAGAAACCCUCAUUCGGAUUCUUUUUACCAAUUUUGUGGCUUUUCUUUUUGGAUAAGCAAGAUUAAAAGGUGUAUGAUCCCACCGGGCGUGCCAAAACUAUGUUCGCGUCAGGAAUUUCCGUCGGGAACGUUUCCUGGCCGACUAGCGCAUAGCUCCCCAGGAGGUUGGCGCCGGUUGAAGGCUGUUGUCGGGCUUCUGCUUCACUGUCGGGCGUCUGCUUCACUGUUGGGCUUUGUCGGGCAAGGCUCUUUGGGCAAGACUCGUCAGGCAUGGCUUGUCGGGCAAGGCUGGAAGAGAAGGACAGCGUUAACUUUGAGAGGUGCCUUUGUGGGGCCUUAGGUGUAAGCCUUGAGGCUCACAAUCAAGAUUAACUUCUAAGUACUCAGGCAUGCCACUGCCAUCUUUAGCAUGGCAGAUGUAAAAUAGAUGUCGCGUUUUAGUUUUGUAUAUAUAUAUAUAUAUAUAUAUGCCCGAGAAACCGUGUUAGUUAUAACAGGUGCCUUUGUGGGGCCUUAGGUGUAGGCCUUGAGGCUUCCCAUCAAUAACUAAACCAGUGCUCGAACAUAUAAUAUUCGUUCGAUUGAUUGCAGGAGCCUUACAACUAUUAUACUUCUGAUUAUCCGAAUCUGAGAGAUAGAACGAACCCAAAUAGGAGCCUUUGUGGGGCCUUAGGUGUAGGCCUUGAGGCUUCCUAUCAGAAUUCGUUCUUAUACUCAAACGUUCUAGACCGCGGAAUGGAAUGAAUCCAAAUAGGUGCCUUUGUGGGGCCUUAGGUGUAGGCCUUGAGGCUUCCUAUCACAAUCCAUUCCAUGCUUAAGCGUUCUAUGAUAAUCAUAAUAUAAUAGAAAUAAAACUAAGGGGUAGGUCGAUUACUUGCGCCCCAAGUAACUUCGGACUUCUUGUUUAUCAAGGACUAUUGUGGAUGGGUUAAGUCCACAUAAGGUUCUUUUUUAUGCCUUGAGGCCAAGGACUUUCAACUGAUCAAAUUUACAUGCCCGAAGGCUUAGAACUUAGAUCUGGUUUGAACAAUGAAGAUAUAUUCAAAUCGGAUCCAAGUACUAAGAGAUUCUUUUAAUGGUCAUCUUACUAGAAAUAACUUGAAUAUAACUGGAAGUAUACAACAUAUUGCUAGGCUAAUGAAUGAAAAGACAAAAACAAAGAAGGUCAGGCAAGGUUUAACCUUGUUGGGCAAGCCUGGUCGUCUUGCAGGUUCCUAUCUUUGUGGCUUAUCAAGGGUCUGAGAGCUUUUAGGGAGAGGUAAGGAGAGGAGUUUACAAAGAGAAAUCGAUACUACAGCAAGGUUGAACAGGGUAGCAGAGCUAUUACAAGGGUUUGAGUGAAGGCUUAGCCCGAGAGGGAUGAAGGUUUGGGCUGACUACAGCUUCGUUUUGAAUGCAAAUCUGGCUUUGAGCAGAGUUUGUGCUUGCAUUUGUUUGUUUGUUUGAGUGUCCUUAAUCCUGAUUUCUCUUUCUUCUUUUAUAGACAACUCAGCUUGGCCUCUUGUAGCAGCAACCUUGCCCGAAUGCAACUUGAGAGGCAGUGACUCAUUAGCUUUUUUACUUGUUCUGCCAUUAUAAAGUACUUUAUGGGCUGUAUAGCUGGUUAGUCUAUACCACUUGGCUUUUGGGUAGGUGAGUAAGUGGUCUUCAUGAGCUGCACCAAGUCAGAAAAGCCCAUUUUCUGCUUUCUGGGUUUUGGCUGGGCUUAGGCCGGCUCUUCCUUUAGGCAUCCUUUUUGGCCAGCCCCUUUCCUGAGCCCAAAGUUCAAGUUUUGAUCCAAACAGGUUAGACAUUGGAAGUAUAGCAAUACUCAAGUUCACAUGUCAAUCAAACACCAAAAAUCAAACUUAAUCAAUCCCACAUGCAAAAGGAACAAACUUAAUCCGUUUAAAACCAAAAUGAGUAAACCCACAACCCAAAAUCUACGUCCAAUUCUUACCUUUUCACCACAAAAGCAUCGAAGUUUAAGCUGAAAAUUUCAAGCCCAUAACUUGUUCGAUGAAUGCUUAAGAAAACAGAGUCAGCAGUGUCACAUCCCAGUCUCGACUUUGUCGUAGCACGAUAUUAUUCACUUUAGUCUUUCCAUUCCCUCACGAAUUUGUUUCUGGGAACUCAGAAGAGAACUUCCCAAUGGAUCACCCAUCUUAGGAUUGCUCUUGCCCAAACUCGCUUAACUUCGAAGUUCCGAUGGAAUCCGAAGCCAAUGAGUUCCCAAAAGGUCUCGUUUUAUAGGGAGAUGAGCAUUUACAUAUGAGGCACAUCACCCUCUCCGUUGGUCGAUGUGGGAUCUUACAAUCCACCCUACUUAAAGGGAACUCGGCAUCCUUACCGACACAUCCGCACCGAACGGUAGAGUGGCUCUGAUACCAAAUUGUCACAUCCCAGUCUCGAUUCCGCUAUAACACAAUAUUGUCUGCUUUGGGCUUACCAUUCCCUCAUGGAAUUGUUUCUGGGAACUCAGACGAGCAUUUCCCAAUGGGUCACCCAUCUUAAGAUUGCUCUCGCCCGAACUCGCUUAACUUCUGAGUUCCGAUGGAAUCCAAAACUAGUGAGUUCCCAAAAGGUUUCGUGCUAUAAAGAGGGGAGCAUGUACAUACAAGGCACAUUACCCCCUCUCCAUUGGUCAAUGUGGGAUCUUACAAGCAGAGCCACAGAACAACCUUAUCCAUGUUGCAGAUGACAACACCCAAUGAGCUUGUCCCUUUGAGGUAUGUUCUUCCACGGCGGCCAAUCCCAUUCAAAACCCACUUUCCUGACUCAAUUCCCUUUCAGAAUCAGACCUAGAACCCGAACCAGCCCGUUGGACCUUAUCCAUCGGUAGCUUAUUGACUCUCUUGGUUUCUCUAAUGCUUUCCUUCUCCUUAAUGCUGCAAAGCACUCUCAACUCCAAGUUGUUCUUCGAAGGAAACCCAAGCAAACGACGUCGUCUAGGUGAGGAGGUGAUAGAUUGUGAGCUUGUGCUAUGUGAAAAUAAGCAGGAGGAGCACUUGGCUCUGAGAAAGCGAGACGAAGUGAGAGAGAUGACGAGAUGAGCGAGAGAGGAGAGAGACCAAGUGAGCCAGAGGGAAGAGAGAGACAAAUGGGUAGGUAGUGUCUGGACUCGUUUCCAAUUAAACCCUAAAAAAUGCCUUUUUUUUUUAAUUAAACCGCCAAAAUUUUAACUAUUGCGCAACGUAGUUAUAAAUUAUGAUGCCGCGCAAAGUCCUUUUGCGCAACGAUCAUUUAUGGCGUUGCGCAAGGUAUUUUUUUUAAAAUAAAAAUUAUUAUAAAAUUUAUUAAAAUUUGACUUUACUCCCUUCAAACUUAAUUUUUUUUCAUAAAACCCACAAUAAUAUAUUUUUCUAAUAGAACCCCGACCCAAACUACAAUAAUAAAUUUAAAGCUACUUAAUAAAUAUAUAUACCAUUCAAUUACUUAAGUGUUAUACGUACAAAAUAAAUAAAUUUAAAUCUACUUAAUAAAUAAAUAUAUAUAUACACACAUACCAUUUAACUUGAUGAGAUACGAAUUCUCCGAAAUUAAUUUCAAUGAUCCAACCGUCAAACGUAUAUGCUUCAAGAUUGCAUACACAAAAAAUCGCAAAAAACAAACAUUCAGAGAUCAAGUAAAUGGACAAAACUUUUCAACGGUUAUAAACGAAAAAUCACGAUUUAACGGUUAUUCUAACUCCGAUUUUGAUUAUUUUUUUAUAGCUACACUCCCUGAUCCUAUAUGAAUACAAUGAAUGAAUUCGAUCUUCAAUUUAAAAUAUUUACACUAGUGGAUAUCACAAAAUCUUAUGUUAUACUUAAUGGAAGUAUAAAUAAACUCUAAGUGUUAGUGAAUCUCUCAUUUUGAUGGGAUACGCAUCCUACGAAACUAAUUUCAACGAUCUAACCGUCAAACUUGUUUGUAUAUGCUUCGAGAUCACAUAUGCCAAAAAUCGCAAAAAACAAACAUUCAGAAAUCAAGUAUCGGGACAAAACCUUUCGACGGUUAUAAACUAAAAACCACAAUUUAACGGUUAUUUUAACUCCGAUUUUGAUGAUUUUUUAUAGCUACACUCCUUGACCCUAUAUGAAUACAAUGAAUGAAUUUGAUCUUCAAUUUAAACUAUUUAUACUAGUGGAUACCACAAAAUCUUAUGUUAUACUUAAUGAAAGUAUAAAUAAACUAAGUGUUGGUGAAUUUGUCAUUUUGAUGGGAUACGCAUACUACGAAACUAAUUUCAACGGUCCAACUAUCAAACUUGUUUGUACAUGCUUUGAGAUCGCAUACGCCAAAAAUUGCAAAAAAAAACAUUCAAAGAUCAAGUAACGGGACAAAACUUUUCGACGGUUAUAAACGAAAAAUCACGAUUUAAUAGUUAUUUUAACUCCAAUUUUGAUGAUUUUUUACAGCUACACUCCUUGAUCCUAUAUGAAUACAAUGAACUAAUUCGAUCAUCAAUUUAAAAUAUUUAUACAAGUGGAUACCACAAAAUCUUAUGUUAUACCACAAAGUUGUUGACUUUGCACGACGAAGGUGCACCUACGUCACACAAAGCUAUUUUGCGCAACAAAUGCACACCCUUGUAGCGCAAAGUGGUUUUGCACAACGACCCCAUCGUGGCAUCGCGCAAGUUAUAUUUAAAAAAUAUAUAUUAUAAAAUUUACUGAAAAUGUGAUUUUACUCCCUUCAAAUUUAAUUUUUUUUUACAUAAGACCCAUAAUAAUAUAUUUUUCUAACAAAAACCUGAUCCGAACUACAAUCAUAAAUUUAAAGCUACUUAAUAAAUAUACAUACCAUUCAAUUUCUUAAGUGUUAUAUGUCACAGCCCGUCCCGGAGAUGUACGUUAAUUAUGUUAUCGACGGUGUGAAAUUACCUAAAUAUCCUUGGACGUUGAGAAUUAUUAUGGGAUGUUGUGGUUUAACUUAAGAUUUUGGACCAAUUAGUUAUAUUCCUCUUUUAGUGGAUCCAAUUAGAACUAAGUGUUCUCUUAGUUGUGAUUGGUGUGCAUUUUUAGACCACACACACAUCCCUACCCUUUCUCUCUCUUCUCUCCCAUACUCUCGCUCUCUCUCUCUCUCGGUUUCACUCUCUCUCUCCUUGCUAUACGUAUGGACAAGGGCAAGAACACCCCAAACUUCGCAGAUCGAAGGUUUUGAGUGCACCAUUGUGUUCCUCGUGGUGCUAUGAGUUGAUUGAUAUCCAUUUCAGGUAAGGAUACUUUUGAUACCUCGAGAACCCGAGAAACAAAGUUUCAUGCACUGUUCACAUGGACGUAAAACUACUUGUUUCAGGGAAUUUGAAGCUCAUAGGGAGCUUAAGGAGGUCCUAAGGAAACUCGGGGUGGUUUCGACUUAUGUGCGGUAUAUUGCCGUAUAGGUCAUUGUAGUGACUCCGGCUAGAUUGACUUUUGAGCUAUGAAUUCAGCCGUACAUACUACCACAGGGGUUCCGGCUAAUAUAUCAUAUUUCUAUGAAAUCAUUCUUACCUAGAUUGUUUACUUUGUUAUAUUGGCUUGGCAUACAUAUGAAUAUGAUUAUGUGAAGUAUGAAUUGAAUUGAUAUGAUUUCAUAUAUAUAUAUAUAUUAUGUAUAUGCUUAUAUCGUGGUUCUGGGAAAAAUUAUACAUGUUUUACAGCGAGGGGUUAGUGUAUUAAUAAAUGAAAUGGUUUUGUAAAACAAUUGUUUUUGCCCACUCACGUUUUCUGUUUUGCACCCCUCCAAGUUUUAUGUAAGCUUGUUGUUGGUGGCUUGAGGACGUCGGUAGUUCUGACUUAUCUAAAUAAUAGUAGGACAUUCCCGGUACUGUAUAAUUAGUAUUUGUCCUACUGGACUGCACCUAGACUUUAUGCUCUGAAUAUGAGUGUUUACUGUUGUAACUAACUCCUAUCACUUUUUGUUGAGUAGUGCACUCUAGUAAUUUGGUUUUCAAUUAUUCGUAUAAUUGUUAUCAUUAUCGCUUCCGCACUGUGCACAUGGCUACGUCACUCUCACAUGACGGCCAACAUGCCUUGAUCUCGGUCGGGGUGUGUCAGUUUGGUAUCAGAGCCUAGGUUUAGCAGUCCUGUAUAAUUCUUGAAUGUUCUAAUCCUUGUGAUGUCUUAUGUUAGAACUAUGCCGCCUCGUAGAGAGCUCCGUCAAUCAAUUGAAUCUAGUUUCCCUGAUAUUGCUCGAUUAGGGGAAGCUAUAGUUUCUGCCAUUCAGACAACAUUCCGUACUCCUCAGAGGACACCUCUUGAGACAGUUCAUAAUUUGAAGUUGACUCACUUCAUGGGAAAUGAAGGUCAUGAGGGGGCAGAAAAAUGGUUGAAUCAUGUGGAGAAGACCUUUCAGAUGAUGCAGAGUCAGGGGAAUCUUCCUCCUGAUAGAUGGGUCGAGACGACUACCUGGUGUUUUGGAGAACAGCCUGCAUCCUGGUGGAGACAGGAGUCUUAUCAGUUGACCCCAGCAGAGAUUGUGGACUGGGGAAUAUUUAAAGAGCUGUUUCGAAAAAGGUUCAUUCCUUUUGCGUAUAUCGAUCGUAAGAAACAAGAUUUUACUCAUUUGAGGCAAGGAAAAAAUGUCCGCUAAUGAGUAUUACAGGAUGUUUACUGAUCUGUUGAGAUAUGAUUCCGAGAUUGUUACUAAUCCGGUAGAGAUGCUUCGCCGUUUCAGUUUGGGUAUUAAGAAGAAAUGGCGUUCCAUAGCAACAUUGACUCACUGUGCCUCUUACCAGGAGUUUUAUGAGAUUCUACUAAGGAUUGAGGCCUCAGAGAACAUGCCUAGUGAAAGUGAGGAUGAGGAAGGAAAAAAUGAGGGCCAGAGAUGAGAUGACAAAGGAAAAGGGCAAGCAUUUCAGGGACACCGCAAGACCUAGAACUUUAAGAGGAAUGGUGGCAGUUCCAGCUCUUCUAGCGGAGGAUUGAGUGCUAAUAUGCAGAGGAGAGGUGGUAGAUUUACUGGAGGCCCUAGGUUCUAGAGGCGGAGAGAUUUUGGUGGAUCUGGUGUUCCCUUAUGCCACAUGUGUAAUAAUCGGCAUUUUGAGGAGUGUGGGAUAGGUAGUAAUGGAUGUUUUACUUGUGGAUAGAUGGGUCAUAGGGCUGCCCAAUGCCCUCAGAGUCAGCAGAGACCCCAGCAGCCUUCUUUCCCACUACUUGCACCUACCCAGUAAGCUUCAAGAUCUGGUGGCUAUACUUAGACUGAACGAGGAGGUGCCUACCACUAUCAGGGCGACGCCGCUCCCUACACCUCAAGACAGCAACAGUACUCUCAGGAUCCUCAGUAUCAGAAUGGGUAUCCUCAAUAUCAAAGAGGAUCUAUGUUUUAUCAGCCACAUUCAGCCAGAGGAUCUCAGUGGUAGCAAGGAAGACAGCCCCAACAGGGAGAGAUUGCUGCUAGUAGUGCAGGAUCUUCGAGGCAGUCGGGUCAGCAGAGGCAGGGACGUAGUGUUCAUGCCAACAGAGGUCGUGGUGGACGACAGCAGAAUCAGGGGCAUAUCCACAACAUGUCACUGCAAGAUACCUAGAAUAAUCCAGAUUUAAUCAUGGGUACGUUAAAUAUUCUUGGUCAUUUUGCUAGAGUAUUGAUUGAUUGUAAUGCUACACAUUCUGUUAUUUCUCAUACAUUUGCUCAAGUGACACAACCUCAUCCUACACCUCUAGGAUAUAAUUUAGAACUUUUUAUGCCUAGAGGGGAUAGAUGUUUUGUGGAUCGGGUAUAUCCAGGAUGUCCAGUGAUAGUAGAGGAUGUUAUUAUGUCGGCUAAUCUUAUGCCGUUGGAUAUUAUGGAUUUUGGUGUGAUUUUGGGCACUGAUUGGUUGCACUAUAAUCGUGCCAAGAUAGAAUGUUAUGAAAAGACAGUCACAUUUCAUUGUCCUGGAUUACCUAAAGUUUCAUUUGUAGGAGAACCUAGGGGGUAAGGCAUGGUAUUAUUUCAACCAUGAAAGCAAAGAGACUGUUGUUGAAAGGUUGUCAGGGAUAUUUGGCUCAUGUGGUGUUGAAUGAUGAUGCUCUUAGUAGUGUGGAGGAUGUUCGUGUGGUCAGAUAUUUUUCGGAUGUAUUCCCUGAGGAUUUGCCUGGAUUGUCGCCAAAUAGAGAGGUGGAGUUUGUUAUUGAUCUGCUUCUAGGUAUGAAUCUUAUAUCUUUAACUCCUUACAGAAUGGCUCCUGCUGAAUUAAGAGAAUUGAAAGUACAGUUGCAAGAGUUAGUGGAUAAAGGUUUUGUUCAGUCGAGUACUUCACCUUGGGGAGCUCUAAUGUUAUUUGUGAGGAAGAAAGAUGGAACUUUGAGGCUGUGCAUUGAUUACAGACAAUUGAAUCGGGUAACCAUUAAAAACUGUUAUCCAUUGCCUCGUAUAGAUGAUUUAUUUGAUCAACUCAGAGGUGCCUGCAUAUUUUCUAAGAUUGACUUAAGGUCGGGUUACUACCAGUUGAAGAUUAAAAAUGAAGAUGUCCCUAAGACCACAUUCAAGACUCGAUAUGGUCAUUAUAAGUUUCUUGUGAUGCCAUUCGGGUUAACUAAUGCACCAGCAGCUUUUAUGGAUUUGAUGAAUCGAGUAUUCCAACCAUAUUUGGACAGGUUUGUUAUUGUCUUCAUUGACGAUAUUCUGGUAUACUCUAAGUCUAAGGCUAAGCAUGCUAGACAUCUGAAUUUGGUGUUGAGCAAUUUGAGGGAACACCAACUAUAUGCUAAGUUUAGCACAUGUGAAUUUUGGUUGAAUCAACUGGCAUUUUUGGGACAUGUUAUUUUUGCUCAAGGCAUUCAAGUGGAUUCUUAGAAAGUGGCAACUGUGGAGAAUUGAGAGCAACCUCGAACCGUCACCGAGGUACGGAGUUUUCUUGGCCUAACAGGCUAUUAUAGACGGUUCGUUAAAGAUUUUUCAAUGAUUGCUUUUCCAUUGACGAGGUUGACACGAAAGGAUGUAAAGUUUGAGUGGGAUAGUAAAUGUGAGCAAAGUUUCCAACAGUUGAAGUACUAUCUCACUCAUGCUCAUGUUCUAGCGUUUCCAGAUGAUAACGGUAAUUAUGAGGUUUAUAGUGAUACUUCUCUGAAUGGUUUGGGUUGUGUAUUGAUGCAACAUGGUAGGGUAAUUGCUUAUUCUUCGAGACAAUUGAAACCUCAUGAGAAAAAUUACCCUACACAUGAUUUAGAGUAAGCAGCUAUCAUCUUUGCCUUGAAGAUUUGGAGACAUUAUCUUUAUAGUGAGAAAUGUAAGAUCUUUACAAAUCAUAAGAGUCUUCAAUAUUUGUUUACUCAGAGAGAUCUUAAUCUUUGACAGUGGAGGUGGAUUGAGUUACUUAGUGACUAUGAUUGCACGAUUGAGUAUCAUCCUAGUCAUGCAAAUGCAGUGGCGGAUGCACUUAGUAGGAAGACUCCAGUCAGACUUAAUGCCAUCUAUGAUUGUCAUGUUCCUCUCUUAGCAUAUUUGAGGUCCACUAGAGUGGAGCUAGGAGUGGAAGAUCGAGAAGAAGCCUUACUUGCUAAUUUUCAGGUUAGGCCAAUUUUGGUUGAUCGUGUGCUUGAGGCUCAGAUGAUUGAUGUGUAGACCCAGGAAAUAAUUCAAGCAAGGAACCAAGGUAGAAAGAAAGAUUUUGGGAUUUGAGAAUCUAAUGGUAUGCUUAUGCAGGAAUGCAGAAUGUAUGUGCCAAAUAAUGCGGAGUUAAAGAAAGAAAUUUUGGAUGAAGCACAUAUUUCGGCAUAUGCAAUGCAUCCAGGAGGCACUAAGAUGUAUCAUACCAUUAGACCAUUUUAUUAUUGGCUGGGUAUGAAAAGAGAAAUUGCCAAAAAUGUGAGUAGGUGUGCCAUUUGCCAACAGGUUAAAGCUGAAAGGAAAAAGCCGUUUGGGUUGAUGCAGCCACUUCCCGUUCCACGGUGGAAAUGGGAAAAUAUUACUAUGAAUUUUGUGUACAAGCUUCCUCGCACACAAAAUGGUUAUGACGGCAUUUGGGUGGUAGUUGAUCGGCUUACUAAGUCAACACAUUUUAUUCCAGUGAGGGAAAAGUAUUCGUUAAGCCCGAUUAGCUAAGUUAUUUCUAUUGCAGAUUGUGAAGUAUCACGGUGUGCCAGUUAAUAUUAUCUCGGAUCGGGAUCCUAGAUUUACUUCCAAGUUCUGGAUAGCAUUCCAGGAAGCUCUUGGUACGAGAUUGCUUUAUAGUACGGCAUAUCAUCCUCAGACAGAUGGACAAUCUGAGAGGACCAUUCAAACAUUAGAGGAUAUGUUGAGAUCUAGUGCUACAGUUUGGAGAUAGUUGGCAUGAUUGUUUAGAUUUGAUGGAGUUCGCCUACAACAAUAAUUACCAUUCAAGUAUUCAUAUGGCACCAUUUGAGGCACUUUAUGGGAAAUCUUGUCAUAUGCCUCUAUGUUGGUCAGAGGUUGGCGAAAGAGUUUUAGUGGGCCCAAAGAUUGUGGAUGUGACUACUCAAAAUGUUCAGGUAAUUAAGUCUAACCUGAAAGCGGCCCAAGAUUGACAAAAGAGCUUAGCAGACAAGCAUGCCACUGAUCGGAAGUAUAAUGAAGGUGAUUGGGUAUUUCUAAAGCUAUCACCUUGGAAAGGUGUUGUAUGAUUUGGAAAGAAAAGAAAGUUGAGUCCUAGGUACAUUGGACCAUAUAUGAUCACCAAACGAGUCGGUGAGGUUGCUUACAAGCUUAAGUUGCCUCCAGAGUUGUCCAAGGUGCACGAUGUAUUUCAUGUUUCGAUGCUUCGACAUUAUAUUUCAGAUCCUUCACAUGUGAUUCCUCCUUAACCUUUGGAAAUCAAUUCGGAUUUGAUUUAUGAUGAGGAACCAGUGACUCUAUUGGAUUGCAAGGAUAAGGAACUGAGGAACAAGACCGUGCUUGGUGAAAGUAUUAUGGAGAAAUCAUUCAGUAGAAGAAGCUACUUGGGAGACAGAGGAUCGAAUGAGAGAGAUGUAUCCAUGCUUGUUUUAUGAUUAUUAGUGGAUGUAUUGGUUGUACGUAAUUUCAAGGAUGAAAUUUUAUAAAGUGGGGAGAUUGUCAUAGCCCGUCUCGAGUAAUAAUUAUCGUGGUUGUGAAAAAAUGAAUUUACCCUUGAGCGUCGGGUGUGUGUUUGUAUUUUGGGUUAAGAAAUUGGGUCAAUUAGUUUUAUCCCUAACUAAUUGGACCCAAUUAGAGCUAAAAGAUUAAAGAGUUUUGAUUGGUGUGCAUUUUGGAACCACACACACACAUCCAUAUCCUUUCUCUCUCUUCUCUCCCGUACUCUCUCUUGGACUCACUCUCUCUUCCCUCUCCUUCGUACGGACAACCUUGAACCAAGCCAAAUCUUCACAGAUCGAGGAAGAAAAUGAUACCAUUGUGUUUAUGAGGACCAUACGAGUGCAAAGGUACCCAUUUCAGUUAAGAACUCGUUUGACAUCACGUUGAAAACCCAAGCUCUAAGUUAAGCACUAUUCAUGAACUUUUGAAUGGUUAUGUUUUAGGACAAUCCAAGCUCAAAUUGAGCUUUAGGAGGUUCUCACGAAGCCUGGAGUGCUUCGUUGGCUCGAUUUUGAAGUCAGGAUCACGAGGUUCGAAGGUGGCCGGUUUUGGUAGGAUUUUCCUGACGAGUUUUCGAGGGAUUUGAAGCUCCUAAGAGGUAUAACCUUCUUCCUCUCGUGAUUUAUGAUAAUCUGGUGAAAAUUACGGGAAAAAUAGUGCAAAAACAAGCGAGAAAUAGGCAGUUGCAGGUCUGCCUAGAAUCAGGUGCCGGUGAUACUAUUCCGGCGUCUGGAGGUUGAAGGUGAUGCGUAGGGAUGGGCAAAUAACCAUUGGUUAUGGGUAACCGCGGUUACCGGUCCAUUUAAAUUAAACGGUUACGGUUAUGGGUAACCGUUUAGAUAAAUAAACGGUUAUGGGUAUAACCGUUUACCCGUGAAAUUUAAAUGGGCGGUUAUGGGUAUUAACCGCGGUUAUAAACGGGUAACCGUUUACCCAUAUAUUUUACAUAUGUAAAACUAACACAAAUCAUGUUCUUGAUCCAAUAAUACUUAGCACCCAAUCAAUUAGCAAGGAAUUCAUCGAUCCUUCUCUCAAUAACACUGCUACAGGAAUGAUGAUUCACAUCAUCAAGGAAUUUGCCAAAUUAAUUUAAAUUCCUUGCGUGUAAUCGUGAAAUUGACAGAAAUGUCUUUUAGAUAAUUUUUGUAACCCAAUAAUACUUAGCAAAUAUUAUAUUUACCUUCAUUGGUAACAGUUAAAAUAUCGUCCGUAAACUAUUAUUUCAAUUAUUGGAAUGGUAUAAGGACUUAAAAAUUAAAAUACGGAAAAGUAUGAUGAAUGUACCUAUAACGGUGUUUAAUUGUCAAAAAAAAAAGAAAAUUAUGACAAUUUUUUUUAAUUUUCAUGGUGUUAAAAAACAUGUAGAGGGUGAAAAUGGGGUAAUGGUAAAAACAAAAAACAUAAAUGGGUUAAAAAGGGUAAAUGGGUAAACGGGUAUUAAACAGUUAUGGUUAAAUGGGUAUGUGAUUAUGGGUAUGGUUAACCGUUUAUAAACGGUUAUGGGUAUGGGUAUAACCAUUUAGGCAAUUACCCAACGGGUAAACGGUUAUGCGGGUUUGAGUAUAAACGGUUCUGGGUAAAUAACCGCGGUUUACCGCCCACCAUAACCAUUGCCCAUCCCUAGUGAUGCACAUGAGGGCGCAUGAGGGUGCGUGAGCCAUAGAAAAAUUAUUUUAAAAAUUUCAAGAUGUUCGUGAGAUUGUGUAGGUCACUGUGGUAUAUUCAUAUACCCAUUUUGAGCUAUGUAUGAGAAGUUAUUAGCUAGUUUUGCCUAUGUGCUUUAAAAUAACGUUUUUAUAGUUAAUUCGCAUAUAGGUGAGACUUAUCCCGAGGACGAGCGUAUCCACGGGCGACUCGGGGUUACGACCCAUCGACAUACCAAUGAGUGGGCUUUUGUUUUCAGUAUAUAUUUAUAUACUUGAUAUAUUUCCCAGAAAUGCAUUUUUAAGGAAAGUAUGCUUUGAAAUAAUAUGUCAAAUGCUUUUAUAUUCUGAAUAUGCAUUUCAUGGUUGCAUAUAUAUAAAUGUGGUGCUGUGGAGGGACAGGUAAGUUCAGGUAAGUUAUGUUUGAGUAUGUGAAUCAUCGAUGAUGUGAUAUGUGAUUGAAUAAUGUUGAGCUCAUAAAACUGCACCUAGGGUGAUUGUGAUUUAGCCAGAGAUAUGAAGUACAGGCCUGUUUAUUUACGUCACCUCCCACACAAUAUGCUCAUAUUGGAUCCAACUUAAGUGCACAGUCUUGUCAUACAGACCUUAUUUAUAGUUUCGACUCGUAGGUGACUAGCGAUUUAUCGCCCGGCUAUUAUAAGAGAAUAGAAUUGAGCAUAAUUAUAUUACACCCAAUCUUGUCGUACAGACCCAUUUUUAGUGGUUCCGACUUAUGUGCAGUAUAUUGCCGUAUAGGUCAUUGUAGUGACUUCGGCUAAAUUGACUUUUGAGCUAUGAAUUCAACCGUACAGACUACCACAGGGGUUCUGGCUAACAUAUCAUAUUUCUAUGAAAUCAUUCCUACCUAGAUUGUUUACUUUGUUAUAUUUUGGCAUGGCAUACAUAUGAAUAUGAUUAUGUGAAGUAUGAAUUGAAUUGAUAUGAUUUCAUAUAUAUAUAUAUAUAUAUAUAUAUAUAUAUAUAUAUAUUAUGUAUAUGCUUAUAUCGUGGUUCUGGGAAAAAUUGUACAUGUUUUACAGCGAGGGAUUAGUAUAUUGAUAAAUGAAAUGGUUUUGUAAAACAAUUGUUUUUGCCCACUCACGUUUCUGUUUUGCGCCCCUCCAGGUUUUAAGUAAGCUUGUUGUUGGUGGGUUGAGGACGUCAGCAGUUCUGACUUAUCUAAAUAAUAGUAGGACAUUCCUGGUUCUGUAUAAUUAGUACUUGUCCUACUGGACUGCACCUAGACUUUAUGCUCUGAAUAGGAGUGUUUACUAUUGUAACUAACUCCUAUCACUUUUUGUUGAGUAGUGCACUCUAGUAAUUUGAUUUCAAUUAUUCGUAUAAUUCUUAUCAUUAUCGCUUCCGCACUGUGCACAUGGCUACGUCACUCUCACGUGACAGCUAGCAUGUCUUGAUCUCGGUCGGGGUGUGUCAAUUGCCAUGUCACAAGUACCCUACACCGUAAAUAGACAAAGAUUUUGAGAAAUAUUUUUACACUCUAUUGUAACCUUUAGAUCUUUUAACAUUGAACGGUGUUGAUUAAGAGUUAUGUGGAGACUUUUAAACAUUAAAUGAAUUGAAUGAUGGUGUGGAAUAUAUAAAUUAAAAAAAAAAAUAUGAUAAAAUAAAAUUGAUUUUUUUUUAAAAAAAAAAGGUUAAAAUUUGAUACAGAAAAAAUGUGAAACUGAAAUCGCUGUGAAGCAGCCUAAAUCCAAAAUCUUCAUUCUUGGAUCUUGGGUUGUUAGAGUUUUGCUAUGGAUGUGACAAAUUGGUUGAGUUGUUCAUCUAAACUUUAGAGCGCUUAAACCUUCUCAAGAUAAAACCCUAAUUUUUUUUUUCUUAAAGCAAAAUUCUCUCUUUGCUUAGUAGCAUGUUUUAUUGUUCACUAGGGUUCAUUGUUUGAAAAGGCAAGAAGAGUAUACAUUUUCAGACAAAAAAAAGGAGAAGACUUUACAUCCAAGGCAUGGAGUUGCAGGCCUCAUCGGCAAACAAAGAGGAAGAUGGAGGGUAGAGUAUUUUAGGGUUCUCUUUUUAAAAAAAAAAAAAAAAUAUAUAUAUAUAUAUAUAUAUAUAUUUUAUUAAAUUAGUGUUUUCCUUAUUAGUUAUAAUCCAAAUCAUCAUCCAAUUCAUUUAAUGUUUAAAAGUCUUCACAUAACUCUUAAUCAACACCGUUGGAUGUUAUAAGAUCUAAAGGUUACAAAAGAGUGUAAAAAUGUUUGUCAAAAUGUUUUUCCCUUGAUCAUAUCCCAUAUAUAUAUAUAUAUGUGUGUGUGUGUGUGUGUGUGUUUCCGUUAACAUCAUGAGAAAGCUUGUUAGGAUUAGAGUUUGGGUUAUGAAAGAGACAAAUGCAAAUUACCCUAUUUUUUUUUUGAUAAAAGAAAUUCCUUAAAAGGAGAGAACCACAAAUACAACCAGUUUCAAUACAAUCAAAGUUUAAAGCUAAUGAAGCAAAGGAGAGAGUAACAUAUACCCAAAUAUGAUUCGACUGUAGUUGGUAUUACCCUACUUCUAUAAACUGUUGUAUGACACAUAGAAUUAAAAGAAUUAAUAACAUACAUUUUCUGUCACUUAGUGCUACGGUCUAGUGAUAUUCUUCUUCACUACAUUAUUGCUAACCCUUUGUGAGGUUAACCCCCUCACCCCUCUCCCUUAGUGUAGAUUUUUUCAAAAAAAAAAAAAUGCUGCAGUCCUAUUAGAUUAGGAAUGUGAUUGGGUAAAUCAUAAUAUAUCUUGAAAUAUCUCUUAUAUUCCUAUUAGAAGUUGAUUACCUAUUAAGAAUUGUAAUCCUAAAAAGGUAAGGAAUUAACCUUUUCUACUACUAUAAAUAAAGUCACAACAGGGUGGAAUAGAACACACCCACAAUUACACAUCUCUCUCUUAUCUCUACUAUUGCCGCACAUUUCUCUCUCUUUAUGACCUCCAUAAUUGUUCAGUAAAUUAUGCCUACAACAAAAAAUUAACAAUAACAUAUGUUUUCCAUUUAGUGUCGUUUACCAAAAUUGUAAUAAUGCUGCUUAGCGGUAUUUCUCUUUACUUGUGAACAUAGUUGCCAAAUAGGGGUAUGAUUCGAGUUUGCAAUUUGGUUCGGAUAUGGAAUUCGGUAGUAACAUAAUGUAUCAUUCGACAAAGAGUAGGCAUAGAUAGUACGGUUUUUAGUUCGAUUCAUUCUAAAUUCGUUAAGGAAUAUAAAUUAUUUUAUUAUAAAAAUAUUGUAAUUAUACAUUUUACAAUUAUAUUGUAUAGUUAUUAUCAUCAAAAGAUGAAAACACGUCAAAAAGAAUUAAUUUACUUAAUUGGUUUAAUAAAAAAUAAUAAAAAUAUUCUUAUAAUAUAAAAUAUUUUCGUGGAUGUCAGUUUGAGUACAAAAAAACUAAGAAAGCAUGUCAUCAUUAUAAACAUGGGUGUGAUAUCCACAUACCCCAUUUUACUUCUCAUACAUCUUUUUAAUUUUCAGCCGUCAGAUCGGAUGAAUUGAAGAAGAUCAACAGACAUAAAUUAUCAAGGACUGUGUAAGAAAUAAAAUGGAGUGUGUGGAUAGCAUAUCUCUAUAAAUAUUUGAAAAUAAAAAAUAUUAAAUAAAACAAAAAUUUCAAAUUAGGCCCACUUCAACACACUCCCUCUCCCGGUUCCCAUAAAUCCCUUUCCCAUUUCCACCUUUUCCACUUUCGGAGCCACCGCCACCGAUUCGAGAGGGAAAAUCUAAAGAGAAUGAGCCGAAUUUACCACCGAAUCGCCAUAUAAUCGAUUCGGCAGUACUGAUACGGGAUUCAGAUGGUGAAAGACCGUAUCCGGCAGCUAUGCUUGUGAAGAAUCCUUUAUAAUAUGGUUGAGGAAAGUCUUUUAUUUCUGGAAUAACAUCCACCCAAGAACUGAAUUCCAGGGUUUCUGCCUUCAAAAACAACAUAGAAAUUAAAGUUUCUGCCUUCUGGAAAAACAUUUUGAGGGCGAAGUCCAAUAGUUUCUGGAAAGAUUGGCUUAUUUUGUAAAUUAUGAAUACUUAUAUUCAUCUGACUAAAGACAUAUGCAAGACGAUACAAAGUAUGCAAGAUUUGAAUAUUUUGCGGACUAGCUAGAUGUUUCUGAUAAUAAUGAAAUUCAUCUAAAAUUGAAUGUUGAAACAUAUCUAUCUUGAAAUCUUUUCCAAGUCUAAAUUUGAAUUUGGGGUUUUCUACCAAAGGUAAAAAAAGGGUUGGUGAAUUAUUUUGUGCAUUAACUGGAUCUCCCUGCGGAGCCGGCACUUUUGCCUAAUUCUGAGUAUCAUUAUUUGUCAUCAUCUGCAGAAGAGAAAUUUACUUAGAGAUGAGUCUUAUCUAACAAAGCUCUUCUUAAAUGAUCUAGAAGAAAAUUAUUUUUCCUUUAAUAUGUUCGAGUUUUACUUUAAAUCCUCUACUUGUUAUACUAUAUACAAAAUUUAACCAUCUUGUUUUGCUUAGUUUCGACUCGUUUAAUUUAUGUUAAAAUCUUACUAUAGCUUCAUAAUCUGUCCUGGUUGUGAAGGGUUUAGAUAAAUAGAUCUUAAAUUUAUUUACUGAAUUUGUUACUCCUAAUAACUCCGCCUGUGUAAGUUUAUCUUACAUUGCCGGUCCCAAGCCCGGAUAAAGGAGGAGGGGGAGGGUGUCACAUAGUCGACAGCCGGCACUCCUCGGUUACGUCGAAUCAUUAUGAAAAUGAAUCCAGAACGAAAUCGCGCUAAAGCUAGGGUGUCACCCGUAAGUAGCGCACUGUGUAGCCCGAGCACAAUGAUAAGUGAGUAAGAGUCGGUAUAUCUCUAUCGGCACCCGGAUGCAGUGUUAAAUGAACAAGGGGGCCAUAGAAACUUCAUUUCGAACGACUCCACUCAAAGUUGUUUGGGAGCAUAUGCUCCUAUCAACUUUACACAGGACACACAAAAGAAGUACUUUGAUCCUAUUAGACGGGGGAGGGUGAAGAAGCUAGGACAGAAGGGUAGAGUUCAAGAGAGUAGAAUGUGUCUAGGAACGUGGAAUAUAGGAACCUUAACGGGAAAAUUUAUGGAAGUAGUGGAAGUUAUGGUGAGGAGAAGGAUAAAUAUUAUGUGCCUACAAGAAACUAAGUGGGUUGGUCUUAAGGCAAAUGAUCUAUAAAACUCAGGGUUUAAACUCUAGUAUUCGGGCACAAAUAGAACGAGAAACGGUGUUGGCAUCAUCGUGGACAAGACCUUGACACAAGAUGUUGUAGAUGUCAAGAGGGUAAGAGAUAGAAUCAUGGCAAUCAAGAUUGUAAUAGGACAAGAACUCAUCAAUGUGAUUAGUGCGUACACACCUCAAGUAGGGUUGGAUACGAGUUCGAAGGAGAAAUUUUGGGAAGACCUUGGAGACUUGGUGCAAGAAAUUGUGCAGACGGAGAAGUUAUUUAUAGGAGGAGAUUUAAAUGGACACGUGGGCAGGGAGACAGGCAACUAUGGAGGUUUUCAUGGUGGCCAUGGUUUUGGGGAGAGAGAACGAGGAUGGGGAAGCUAUCUUGGAUUUUGCAAUGGCAUAUGAUCUCUUCUUAGCCAACACCUUCUUUAAGAAGAAGAAGAACAUGUGAUCACCUACAAGAGUGGGUUGUCAAAAACACAAAUAGAUUUUCUUCUAAUGAGGAAAGAGGGAUCGUAUAAACUUGUAAGGAUUGCAAAGUUAUACCGGGAGAGAGCUUGGCUAAUCAACAUCGCUUGUUGGUGAUGGAUGUACAUAUCAAAAGAGUGAGAAAAAAGAACAAGACUUGGAAGUGCCCAAGGACUAGAUGGUGGAAUCUAAAAGGAGAAAAAAACAAGCCAUUUUCAAAGAGAAAAGUAAUCACCCAGUGUGUGUGGGAUAGAAAGGGGGAAGCUAGCCAAAUGUGGGAUUCCAUGGCUAGUUGUAUCCGAAAAGUAGCAAAAGAGGUAUUAGGAGAGUCCAAGGGCUUUGCUCCCACACCAAAAGGAAUCUUGGUGGUGGAAAUGAGGAUGUACAAACAAAGGUGAAGGCUUAAGAAGGAAUGUUGUAAAGCCUUAUACAAGGAUAAGACCGAUGAAAAUGGUGAAAGAUAUAGAAAAACGAAGCAAGAGGCGAAGAAAGCUGUGUGAAAAGCUAAGUUAGUGGCUUAUGACGAUAUGUAUAAGCGACUAGAUACCAAAGAAUGAGAGUUGGAUAUCUAUAAACUAGCUAGAGCAAGGGAAAAGAAGACAAGGGACCUAAACCAAGUGAGGUGCAUCAAGGAUAAGGAUGGAAAGGUUCUUGCUACAGAGAACGCGGUCAAAGACAGAUGGAGAGGUUAUUUUCAUAAUCUUUUCAAUGAAGGACAUGAAAGGAGUACUUCUUUAGAGGAGUUGAGUAACUCAAAAGAGUGUAGAAACUACUCCUUUUAUCGUCGAAUCAGGAAGGAAGAAGUGGUUGUAGCUUUGAAGAAGAUGAAGCAUAGAAAAAGCAGUAGGCCCAGACGAUAUACCGAAUCGAAGUGUGGAAAGUCUUUGGGAGAGACAGGUAUAGCAUGGCUCACUGACCUUUUCAAUAGGAUUUUGAAAACGAAGAAGAUGCCAAAUGAGUGGCAAAAGAGCACUUUGGUGCCUAUCUACAAGAAUAAGGGCGACAUACAAAAUUGCAUGAACUAUAUAGGGGUAUUAAGCUAAUGAGUCAUACAAUGAAGCUCUGGGAGAGAGUCAUUGAGCAUAGAUUGAGGCAAGAGACACGGGUUUCGGACAACCAAUUCGGGUUCAUGCCAGGGCGCUCAACCAUGGAGGCAAUCUAUCUCUUACGAAGAUUGAUGGAAAGAUAUAGAGAUGGGAAAAAGGAUUUACACAUGGUCUUUAUAGAUUUGGAAAAAGCGUAUGAUAGGGUCCCAAGAGACAUUCUUUGGAGGAUUUUAGAGAAGAAAGGAGUACGAGUAGCAUAUAUCCAAGCUAUAAAGGAUAUGUAUGAAGGAGCAAAGACUGCCGUAAGAACUCAUGAAGGACAAACCGAAAGCUUCCCCAUAACUGUAGGAUUACAUCAAGGCUCAUCCUUAAGUCCUUACCUUUUUGCGUUGGUAAUGGAUGAGUUAACAGGACAUAUUCAAGAUGAUAUUCCUUGGUGUAUGCUUUUCGCAGACGAUAUAGUGUUGAUAGAUGAAACUCAAGGAAGGGGUAAAUGCGAAAGCUUAACCUUUGGAGAGAAGUGUUGGAAUCUAAAGGUCUUCGCCUAAGCCGAUCAAAGACAGAAUAUAUGGAGUGCAAGUUCAGUGCAAAUGGAGGCCAAAACGAGUUAGGGGUGAGGAUCGGAGAUCAAGAAAUACCAAAGAGCGACCGCUUUUCGCUUACCUAGGAUCUAUCUUGCAAAAGAACGGAGAAUUAGAUGGAGAUCUCAACCAUAGAAUACAAGCUGGAUGGAUGAAGUGGAAGAGUGCAUCCGGCGUGUUGUGUGACCGUCCGUAUGCCACUGAAGCUCAAGGGAAAAUUUUAUAGGACGGCAAUAAGGCCGGCGAUGCUGUAUGGCACAGAAUGUUGGGCGGUGAAGCAUCAACACGUACACAAAAUGGGUGUAGCGGAGAUGAGGAUGCUUCGUUGGAUGUGUGGGCACACGAGAAAGGAUAAGAUUAGGAAUGAGGAUAUCCGGGGGUAAAGUAGGAGUAGCCAAAAUUGAAGGAAAGAUGAGAGAAAAUCGGUUACGGUGGUUUGGACAUGUGCAAAGAAGGCCUACUGACGCUCCAGUUAGAAGAUGUGACUACGGGACAGAGGUUCAAGGCCGAAGGGGUAGAGGAAGACCUAGGAAAACUUUGGAAGAGACUCUAAGAAAAGACUUAGAGUACUUGGAUCUAACGGAGGACAUGACACAGGACCGAGCACAAUGGCGUUCUAAGAUUCAUAUAGCCGACCCCACUUAGUGACUUAGAUUUUUCAAGUUUCCAACCCAGAAGUUUUCCUCACUCGGGAAAUUAAGGGAACACUACCUCAACCUACAUGCUCCAUUCAUAAAGCUUCAACAAAAGAAAAAUUCAAAUAACUUAGCGAAGAAGGCUUUGGUGUAUUUAACACAAUACGUUGAAAUGAAGGAAAGCUUAUUUAUUGAUAUCCCCGAUAAGCUUACAAAUAUGUACAUAUACAUGAGUCAAAAUAAACAAACAAGAAGGGAGCCUUCACAAAGGUUGCUUAGGAGAAGUCUCAGCAGUCGGUAAAGCCCCAGAAAGAGAAGGCACCGGAGGGUGAUCAUUCGGAGCCUCAGUAUUGGACAGAACCCUAGAAGGAGGAGGCAUCGGGAGUUGAUCAUUUGGAGCUUUAUUACGCGAUACAGCUCCAGAAGACGAAGGCAAUAAAUGCCUUUGGAACAAACCCACAAACCCUCUGAUGAUCAAGUAAAAAUCCUGACCAUCAGAUUCCUUCAUCUGGUCAAGCUUCAUCUUCAUGUUUGUAGCAUAGUCAUGUACGAGCCGGUGCAACUGUUUAUUAUCAUGCUUGAGCCCUCUAAUCUCCUAUUUGAGACUUAUCACUUCAGCCGCCAAUGAUUCAACUUGGCGGGUUCGAGCAAAUAGGCGUUGGGCCAUAUUAGACACAGAACCUGCACACUGAACACUGACAGCCAGAUAAUCCUUAACAGCCAACUCAUCAGACCGUUGGAAAAGUAGUCUGUUAUCUUUGGGAGUGAGAAGGUUCCUGGCCACCACCGCAGCAGCCAUAUCAUUCUUCAUCACAGAAUCCCCAACGGUAAGAAGGACCAGUAGGGGAGACGAAGGAUGGGCGCCAUAUGUUGUCUGGAGAAGGCUUGGGGCUGCCUCUUCAACAAGGUUCAAGUCAAAAUGACGGUCGGAGGGGCCAGACAUUUUCAAAGGUGUUGAAGAGAGAAGAGGUCGGACAAAUCAAGAUCUUAGAAGUGCAAGAAUGAAGCUUCUACUAGUGGAGAUUCAAGUGUGCUUUGGAAUUUAAUGCCAGCCUCUAUAAAAAUCUGCACUCGACGGAGCUUCAGAAUUCGAAGAGGCGCCUGCUCAGAAAUCGAAAAGGCGUUUGCUUUCUCAAAAGCUGGGCUGCUCAGAGACCACGAAGGCAGAUCUCAGAAAUCGAAGAGGCGUUUGCUUUCUCAAAAGCUGAGCUGCUUAAAGACCACGAAGGCCAAUUGUAGAAAUCGAAGAGGCGCUUGCUUUCUCAAAAGCUGGGCUGCUCAGAGAUCACGAGGGCCGAUCUCAGAAAUCGAAGAGGCACCUACUUUUUCCAGCCUUGUCAGCACCUGUCACAUGCACACUCAGCUUUGCGGAAAUUAUGGGCAUUCUGUCGAAGAUUUUGGUGAAGUAGAAAGCACGUGAAUCUUACUGUUCAAUCAUCCACUUUCCACACGCAACAUCAGCUCAUGGGUACCACAGAUAACUUUGCCAAAGAUUCUCUGGCAAAGUUGAGACACGUGAAGCUUGCAGCUCCCACUACAUCGCUAUGACCAAGAAAGGUAAAAGAAUAGCAAAGAAACAGCACUAACAAAGUUUAGACACAUAAAUUUUGAAGGUCUAGCUACCAUAUUAUUACCCACAAGGGUAAAGGAAUAGCACCACUGCUGGAUAAUUGGAAAGUCCUUGUGUGUUAACCUCUGUGCUCCGUGGCAAGGUAGACUAGCAAACAUGCCUGAUAGGAACAUAUUUAUGCGACUUAGUUCGCUUGUUCUUGUGCAUUUGUGUUGUUAUUUCUUAGUUAAUUAUGUAUUUUAAGCUAUUUUCGUGUGUUUGUAGGUCAUAAUAACAAAGUUGGCAAGAAAGUGCAUUUUGGAGCAUUUUUGAGCAUUUUUGAGCCAAGAUUGGAUAAUGCAAGCAUGGAGACAUGAGGAUGGAUGUUUUUGAAGAUUUGAAGGCUAGAUAUCAUCAUGUGUGUGUGCAAGUGUGUUGACCUACAACUUCAAACAUCCAUCCACUACACCCAUUACAUCCACUCAUUACCAAACAUCCAUCCACUACACCUAUUACAUCCACUCAUUACCAAACACUCAUCCACUACACCCAUUAUAUCCACUCAUUACCAAACAUCCACCCACUACACCCAUUACAUCCACUCAUUACCAAACAUCCACCCAUUACACCCAUUACAUCCACUCAUUACCAAACAAUCAUCCACUACACCCAUUACAUCCACUCAUUACCAAACAUCCACCCACUACACCCAUUACAUCCACUCAUUACCACAACACUCACCCACUACAACCAUUACAUCCACUCAUUACCACAACACUCACCCAUUACACCCAUUACAUCCACUUAUUACCACAACACUCACCCACUACACCCAUUACAUCAACUCAUUACAACUCCAUACACUCCUCUCCCUAGCCUAUAAAUACAUCCACCCUUCACCAUAAUUAGGGGGCCAUCAUCCAAAGACACUACAUUUCACAUCUCACAACUUCAUUCACAAACACAAUUUCCUUGCCGUGACCUCCAUCCAUUCAUCUAGCCAUACUACAUCUCACCAAUCCAUACACUUUCAUCUCUUAGUUGUGCAAAUCCAUUCCAUCCAUAUAUCCAUACACAUCCUAGACACUUGUGCUACAACAAGGUGGUGAAAACAAAGGUCCUUGGCGUUUUAAGCUUGGAACCUUGGAGCGUUUUAGGUGUACUUCGUUCUUGCUUUCAAUGUCUACUUUGUUAUUUUCUAAUUUUGUUGCAAUUAUGAGUGACUAAACCCCUAUUUAGUUAGGGGGAAGUUUGAAGCCAUGAACAUGCUUGAUAUUUGAAUUGAUUUCUUCCAAUUGUGAUUUGAUAAGUUAUGAUUGCAAUUCAAUUAUCUAUUUUAUUCAUAACUGAUUCUUGUAUGUUUAUGAAGGAUACAUACUUAGUUUUGAUGCAUGAAUUAGAUGCUAGAAUAUAAAUGAGUUUCACCUAAUCGUUACCAGUUUAUAUUCAUGAGUAGUGAAGGUUGUUUAUCACAAUCGCGUUAAUUGAAUUCUUGGCAAUUGUAUCAUGCAUUCAUAGUUAUAAUUGCCUCAUCAACACUUAUGAUUUUCAUUGAACGUAAUGAUCUCUGAUUGUAUCUCUAUUAUGCAAUUCAUAUAGGGGACUUUUAGAGAAUGAUUUGGGUUGUCGCAUGCAUUCAUCCAAUUCAAUGAGUAAAGGAAAAUCUAAGGGUUAAUUUGUGCAUCACGGUUAAUCUGGGGUGUUGAGCAUCAUAGUUUAUUGAAAAGCAAUUGGAAAUCGAUUCAUGUACAAGUGUGUCAUGUGUGAAGAGCGGACCUCUAACUAAUCCAUCCAUAAUUUUAUUUCUCAAAUUCAUUUUAUAAUCUGCCUAGUUUUAUAACUUGCUUGUUUAUUUCGAAUUCGUCAAAACCAAAAUCCCCCUUUUACUUUGUUGUUUCAAAGUGUUAAAUUUCUAUUUCGUUAGUGUUUUUGAGUGUUUUGAUUCAAACCAAAACACUAAAUUCAUCCAAAGUUGUGUUAGAGUCAAAUCUGCCCAGUAAGUGUUUUUAGGCAAUUUUGAGUGAAUUUAAGUUGUUUUGCGUCUUUAGAAUUUGUUUUGAGUCCCUUGAGUCUAUUCAAACAUUUUUAACUUUGUUUUUAUGUUUUUGAGUAAGUUUAGAGGUUUUAGCAAGCCCUCAUAAUCCCCGGUUUAGAACGAUCCCUACUUGCGUUUAUACUACAAUUUGACAACAAGAGGGUUUAAUUUGAGUGCUUAACUUUCAUCGCAUCAAAUUUUGGCGCCAUUGCCGGGGAUUAGCAACUUUGCUAACCCCCCGUUGUUUCUUUUUCAUGUCUUUUGUUUUAGUUACCGACUUUGUUUCUAUUUGUGCCUUUUAUUUCUACUUAUGAUAUUUGAUUUAGUUUUGUUUCCUUGAUUUCAGGUACUAGAGAAGUAAGACAUGAAUUUUGCUACCAUUCAAGCUCAAUUGGCGAAACUUACUUCUCAAUUGUCACAAUAUGCCGAAGGGACCACAAUUCAAAGUGUCCCUACAUAUGGUGUGUCCUAUUAGCAAGGAUAUCCAACUCAUCAAUGUUCUCAAUUCGCUGCGAAUGAAGAUGCUUGGGGUUAUCAAUGCCAUAGCCAAUCAUGGGCAACAUGUUUUCCAACGUUUACAAUUCGGAUUGGAGAGAUUAUUCAGAUUACAUGUGGGGAGAACCUCAACAAUUCCAACAAGAUGGGUAUUGGCAGCAAGAAGAGGAGUUCUAUUCAAGGCCUAUGCAGCCACCACAACAAUCUUUCCUAAUUGAAUUCAAGUACGUCUUUGGAUAAUGAUAUGUUUAAUAAGUUACUCACCUCUUUGAACCAGGAAGUAGAAAAUGGAAACAAAGAGAUGCAAAGUCAAGCCAAGAAGACGGGUGAAUUGGAGAAGCAAAUUGGGCAGAUUAUGGAGUUCAUGGCACAAAUUCAAGAGCAAAGUGAACUCACCAACUCAACUAUUGAAAAUUUGAAGGAAGAUUUUGAAAUCCAUGAUGCUAUCAUUUUGGGAAGUGCUAUAGAGGUUGGAGGUAAACCCAAGACAUCCAAACCAAGCCAAAACAUGGAUGAACAACUGCUGCUCGAAGAAGAGGAGAAUAACAAGGCCACGGCAAGGGAAGAACCACCAUUGCCGCAGCCUCAUAUGCCCUCUAUGUCGUCCAUUAUAACCAAGGUAAGCCUAAAUUCAAUUUGUCCUGACCCCGUUUCACCAAAUGUCCUUAUUCCUUGCAGGAUCAUGCAAUCCAAGGAAGAAGCGGAUGAGAAAGGCAUCUUCGAAACCUUUCCAAAGAAUCAAGAGCAAGAAGUGGAUGGGGAAUGUCUAGAAUUCAUCAAAGAAUAUACACUUGAGACAAAAAUUCCCAAAUAAGUUGGAUUUUCUGACACGGGACAAGUUAUAACUCUCAAAACACCAAAUCUGGCCAAGUCCCAUAUCUUUGCAACCUUCAAAGAUGUUGUGUUCGUAAUUGAGUUUGUGUUGGAGCAAGCAAGUAAGCCAUCUUCUCCAACUUCAAUUUUAUUAUAUACUAACUUGCUGAUUUUGAUGAUUCAGGCACCUACACUAGAAUUUAAACCAUUGCCUGAUCAUGUCAAGUAUCACCAUCCAUUCAAGGAUCAAUUCCAUGCUAUGGGCCCUAUCCAAGUUUAGAAGGAAGUUUCGUCUGGCUGAAAGACGUUAAAGCAAGCGCUUCUUGGGAGGCAACCCAUGUAUUCAAAUAAGGAAUUUUUUGAAUCGCUCCACAAGCAGUUUUGUGUUUCUAAAAACCUUCCCUUUUCUGCAGUUUUAUUUUGCCAUGAUUAUCAUUUUUAUUUGUUGCUUGUUUAAUUGUUUUUGGUGUGGGUUUAUUUUUGAAACACUGACAGAUAUGCAAGGUAUUUUUACAUUCAUUUUCAUGAAAAAAAAAGGAACAUUAAGCAGUAAAAUACAAAAGUGAGCCUUCACAAAGGCUGCUUAGGAGAAGUCUCAGUAGUCGGUGGAGCCUCAGUAGUCGACGGAGCCCUAGAAGGAGGAGGCAUCGGAGGUUGAUCAUUUGGAGCUUCAUUACACGGUACAGCCCCAGAAGACGAAGGCAAAUGCUGUUGGAACAAACCCACAAACCUCUGAUGAUCAAGUAAAAUCUGACCAUCAGAUUCCUGCAUCUGGUCAAUCUUCCUCUUCAUGUUUGUAGCAUAGUUAUGUGAGAGCUUAUGCAACUGUUUAUUCUCAUGCUUGAGCCCUCUAAUCUCCUGUUUGAGACUCAUCACUUCAGCCGCCAACGAUUCAACUUGACGGGUUCGAGCAAAUAGGUGUUGGGCCAUAUUGAACACAAAACCGGCACACUGUACACUGAGAGCCAGAGAAUCCUUAACAGCCAGCUUAUCAGACCGUUUGGAAAGUAGUUUGUUAUAUUUAGGGGCGACAAGGUUCCGGGCCACCACCGCAGCAGUCAUGUCAUUCUUCAUCAUCGAAUCCCCAACGGUAAAAGGAUGGGCGCCAUAUGUUGUCUGGAGAAGGCAUGGCAGCCUCUUCACCAAGGUUCAAGUCAAAACGACGGUCGGAAGGGCCAGACAUUUUCAAAGGUGUUGAAGAAAGAAGAGGUCGGACAAGUCAAGAUAUUAGAAGUGCAAGAAGGGAGUUUAUACAAGUGCAAAUUCAAGUGUGCUUUGAAAUGAACUGCGUGCCUCUAUAAAAAUCAACACUCGACGGGAUUUCAGAUAUCGAAGAGGCGAGCUCAGAAUUCAAAGAGGUCAAUUCAAAAAUCGAAGAGGGGCUAGCUUUCUCAAAAGUUGGGCUUGCUCAGAAACCACGGGCCAUCCUCUGUUCUAGAUUUGUCCGCACUCGUCACAUGCAACCUCUGGACUCGACGGAGCUCAGAACUUGAAGAUGCAAGCUCAGAAAUCGAAGAGCCAUCUGCUUUUCCAGACGUAUCAGCAUCUCUCACAUGCACGCUCAGCUUUGCAGAAAUCACAGGCAGUUUGUCGAAGCGUCGAUUCCAGAUAUCGAAGAGGCGUCUGCUUUAUCCAAACGUGUCAGCAUCUGUCACAUGCACGCUCAGCUUUACGAAAAUCACGGGCAAUCUGUCGAAGAUUUCUGGUGAAGUAGAAAGCACGUGAAGUUUAUUGUUUAAUCAUCCAACGGUUGCCGACAAGAGUGAAAGAAUAGUACCGGUUAUUAUUUCCUAUAAAUGUCGACCUUCACCCUCCAUAGCAAAGCAGACAUACAUAACCUUCCGUCAUCUCCGAGAAUGCCUUCCCAACGAAGCCUCUUGAGUCACUCAGUGUUCCUUAUUCCUUGGGGUACCUCUGCAAACAACUCAUCCAAAGCAAAAGUAUUUCAUAUCAUGAAGGUUGAAAGCAAGAGUAUCUCAUAUCAUGCUUUCUCCCUGUCCUUCUCCUUGUCGUUGUUUUCAUCUACGAGACAAGGAGAAAGAGAGCAAUCAGCCAGCACUUGGUAUCAAUCUUCCGAUCUGAAACUGACUGCCUGGAACCCCUUCUUGAUUGCUUACCUAGCCCUGCUCUCGAGUACUCAUCUUCAACAUCUUAUGCUUCCUCUUCGUCUACCACAUCUGCUUGGGGAACAGAUAAGGGAAGUGAAAAUGAUACCUCGAAGCAUGUGGAGACAAGGUACUAAUUCAUCCUCAGCUAGGGACAAGGAGAAAGAAAGCAAGAGGUGGGCACUUGGAAAGAUUGAAGAAAUAAACAGACCAUCACUUCUACCUCGUGCCUGUCUGUCGUGCAGAAGAAACAAGCAGAGAAGAAUGCAGACUGCACAAUCAAAUCAACCCAGCAGAAGGAGUCUGAUUUGAAACCAAGGAACUCUCGCUUAGAAUUCCGAACCAGUUCGAGAUCAAAGCUGUGGAAAGACAACAAGAUCACCUAUCUCUAAAACCAGAUUUGCGUUCUUAAACUCUACUCUGUCUGGUUUUUACUUUGCCAUACUUGUCAUGUUUAUUCGUUGUUUGUUUGUUUGCUUGUUUGUGUGUGAGUUUAUGCUUGAAACAUUGAGGAUAAUGUUUGAUUUAAGUGUGGGGGGGGGGGUAACCAAGUUGUUUUGCAUGAAAUUCGUAGGAGUUUAUCACCCAUUACUUCUAGAGUUGUUCCUUGCUGUUUUAAGUGUUUUUUUAAGAUUUUUUGGAGUGUUUUAAUGUGUUUUGAUAUAAAAAUCCGAAAAUCUCAUAAAAAUUGGAAAAAUUGUUUUGAAAAACCCAAAAAGAGUUGUUUUUGUAUGUUUAUUUGUGUCUUAGGGUACCUUCCAACACAAUGAUGAGGAUUUGGUUUUUAAUUACAUGACUGUUAAAGAGAGUUAUAAACAUGGAUGAAAAUUUGAUUUACUCUUUGAUGUAUGCUUGGUUGUGGUUAUAAUUUAAGAAUUCACAUGCAAUCAUAAAAGGAAAAAUCAGUUUUUUUUGUAACAUGCUUGAAAGAAGGAACUCAAACUAACGUUACAUCAUUGAGAGACUUAGGCCUAAACAUUUAUUUGGAGUUAUUGAUCUGUGCAAUUUUUUUAUUUUCUAAAGUCGUUGCAUGAUCUCAUUAUUCUUUGCUUGGUUGCUACUUAGAAGGCGUUUCAUCAUUUAGUUCCAAAUGCUUGAACUCAUGCUUAUUUCAUUCAAAGCAUGUUAUUGAUUUGCGUAACACAUAUUCAAGAUGAAGUUGUUUAGUGAGCCAAGAGCCAAAAAGCCUAUCUCGUUCAUUAUGUGUUUAAGUUUAACCCCGUUGAGUCUUGUGUUGCCUAUGUUCUUUGUUACCCACGCUAUCCUCACCUAGCCUAGAUUAGGACCAUCCAUACCCUUGUUCUUGAAGCAUAGUAAAGCAUAAUUUAGAAGGAAUUCCUUUUGUUGAACUCUUGCAGAAAAACAAGUGUGGGGGAAGUGAUUCUUGUGUGUGUGUGUGUGCCAAAGUCCUUCAUAAGGCACGGGUAGAAAAGGAAAAGAAAAAGAAAAAUUCGUGGAAAAUAGAAUGAAAAGAACAAAAGUUGUGAAAAGAGUUUAAAAUUUUAUGAGAAAGAGCUCUAAAGUGUUGUUUGUUGAAGAAAGGGUCCAAAGCAUUGAAUUCGACCCUAAGUGUUGCAUGAAUCUUCCCUUUGUGUUUAAAAGUUGAUUUUUGCAUUCUAAAGUAAAUUUCAAGUGUCGAUUCCAUUACUUUGCUUGCUAUCGCUUUAAGAACAUUUGUUAUUCCUAUCCUUUCUUUGUUAGCCAUUACCCCCAAGCCCUGUUACAACCCUUGACUUCAAUCUUGAGUGUUGUGUGUUUCAAUUUGUGGAGUUUGAAAUUGAUAUGAGCAUAUGGUGUCACUGGUUCUUGCAUCUAAGUAGUAGCAUUCCAUUCAUGAGAUCAUAUAUAUACAUGAAUUAAUAAUUCCAGAAAUUGCUUCUUUGUUGAAAAACAUAUGUGAGUACUAGAUUUCAUGUUUACAUCAAUCUUCUCACAUAUACCUAAUAUAGGGAGUGUAGUCAGAAAUUCUUGUGUGAAAAUAAGAAUGUAUCUAGUAAGGAAUUGAGAAAAUUCUCUAAGGCAUGUUACUAUAUUCAAAAUGCUGUUUUAAUUUAUUAAAUGUGAGCUAGUGAAUGGUGACUAUGAUUAAGUAUGCUCGAGGGUAAGGAAUGCUUAAAUCUAUGUAAGUGGUGAUCUUUGGCAUGUCAUGUUUCAUUGAAAAUCCUUGACGCAAAUGUUGGAAGGUUAGGUUAUGUUUUCUUUGUUUUGUUUGUUUUGUUUCGUUUUGUUUCUUUUGUUUUGCUCGAGGACUAGCAAAAGCUAAGUGUGGGGGAAUUUGAUAGGAACAUAUUUAUGCGACUUAGUUAGCUUGUUCUUGUGCAUUUGUGUUGUUAUUUCUUAGUUAAUUAUGUAUUUUAAGCUAUUUUCGUGUGUUUGUAGGUCAUAUAACAAAGUUGGCAAGAAAGUGCAUUUUGGAGCAUUUUUGAGCAUUUUUGAGCCAAGAUUGGAUAGUGCAAGCAUGGAGACAUGAGGAUGGACAUUUUUGAAGAUUUGAAGGCAAGAAAUCAACAUGUGUGUGUGCAAGUGCGUUCACCUACAACUCCAAACAUCCAUCCACUACACCCAUUACAUCCACUCAUUACCAAACACUCAUCCACUACACCCAUUACAUCCACACAUUACCACAACACUCACCCACUACACCCAUUAUAUCCAUUCAUUACAACUCCAUACACUCCUCUCCCUAGCCUAUAAAUACAUCUAACCUUCACCAUAAUUCGGGGGCCAUCAUCCAAAGACACUACAUUUCACAUCUCACAACUUCAUUCACAAACACAAUUUCCUUGCCGUGACCUCCAUCCAUUCAUCUAGCCAUACUACAUCUCACCAAUCCAUACACUUUCAUCUCUUAGCUGUGCAAAUCCAUUCCAUCCAUAUCUCCAUACACAUCCUAGACACUUGUGCUACAACAAGGUGGUGAAAACAAAGAUCCUUGGCAUUUCAAGCUUGGAACUUUGGAGCGUUUUAGGUGUACUUCGUUCUUGCUUUCAAUGUCUACUUUGUUAUUUUCUAAUUUUGUUGCAAUUAUGAGUGGCUAAACCCCUAUUUAGUUAGGGGGAAGUUUGAAGCCAUGAACAUGCUUGAGAUUUGAAUUGAUUUCUUCCAAUUGUGAUUUGAUAAGUUGUGAUUGCAAUUCAAUUAUCUAUUUUAUUCAUAACUGAUUCUUGUAUGUUUAUUAAGGAUGCAUACUUAGUUUUGAUGCAUGAAUUAGAUGCUAGAAUAUAAAUGAGUUUCACCUAAUCGUUACAAGUUUAUAUUCAUGAGUAGUGAAGGUUGUUUAUCACAAUCGCGUUAAUUGAAUUCUUGGCAAUUGUAUCAUGCAUUCAUAUUUAUAAUUGCCUCGUCAACACUUAUGAUUUUGAUUGAACGUAAUGAUCUCUGAUUGUAUCUCUAUUAUGCAAUUCAUAUGGGGACUUUUAGAGAAUGAUUUGGGUUGUCGCAUGCAUUCAUCCAAUUCAAUAAGUAAAGGAAAAUCUGAGGGUUAAUUUGUGCAUCACGGUUAAUCUGGGGUGUUGAGCAUCAUAGUUUAUUGAAAAGCUUGGAAAUCGAUUCAUGUACAAGUGUGUCAUGUGUGAAGAACGGACCUCUAACUAAUCCAUCCAUCAUUUAUUUCUCAAAUUCAUUUUAUAAUCUGCCUAGUUUUAUAACUUGCUUGUUUAUUUCGAAUUCGUCAAAACCAAAAUCCCCCUUUUACUUUGUUGUUUCAAAGUGUUAAAUUUCUAUUUCGUUAGUGUUUUUGAGUGUUUUGAUUCAAACCAAAACACUAAAUUCAUCCAAAGUUGUGUUAGAGUCAAAUUUGCCCAGUAAGUGUUUUUAUGCAAUUUUGAGUGUAUUUAAGUUGUUUUGCGUUUUAGAAUCUGUUUUGAGUCCCUUGAGUCUAUUCAAACGUCUUUAACUUUGUUUUUAUGUUUUUAAGUAAGUUUAGAGGUUUUACCAAGCCCUUCUAAUCCCCGGUUUAGAAGGAUCCUUACUUGCAUUUAUACUACAAUUUGACAACAAGAGGGUUUAAUUUGAGUGCUUAACUUUCAUCACAUCAAAUUUUGGCGCCGUUGCCGGGGAUUAACAACUUUGCUAACCCCUCGUUGUUUCUUUUUCAUGUCUUUUGUUUUAGUUACUGACUUUGUUUCUAUUUGUGUCUUUUAUUUCUACUUAUGAUAUUUGAUUUAGUUUUGUUUCCUUGAUUUCAGGUACUAGAGAAGUAAGACAUGGAUUUUGCUACCAUUCAAGCUCAAUUGGCGAAACUUACUUCUCAAUUGUCACAAUAUGCCGAAGGGACCACAAUGCAAAGUGUCCCUACAUAUGGUGUUUCCUAUUGGCAAGGAUAUCCAACUCAUCAAUGUUCUCAAUUCGCUACGAAUGAAGAUGCAUGGGGUUAUCAAGGCCAUAGCCAAUCAUGGGACAACAUGUUUUCCAACGUUUACAAUUCGGAUUGGAGAGAUUAUUCAGAUUACAUGUGGGGAGAACCUCAACAAUUCCAACAAGAUGGGUAUUGGCAGCAAGUAGGGGAUAAGAAGGGGAUAAGAAGGACCAGUAGGGGAUAAGAAGGAUGGGCGCCAUAUGUUGUCUGGAGAAGGCGUGGCUGCCUCUUCAACAAGGUUCAAGUCAAAACGACGGUCGGAGGGGCCAGACAUUUUCAAAGUGUUGAAGAGAGGAGGUCAGACAAAUCAAGAUCUUAGAAGUGCAAGAAUGGAGCUUCUACUGGUGAAGAUUCAAGUGUGCUUUAGAACUUAAUGCCAGCGUCUAUAAAAAUCUGCACUCGACAGAGCUUCAGAAAUCGAAGAGGCGCCUGCUCAGAAAUCGAAGAGGCGUUUGCUUUCUCAAAAGCUAGGCUGCUCAGAGACCACGAGGGCCGAUCUCAGAAAUCGAAGAGGCGUUUGUUAUCUUAAAAGCUGAGCUGCUUAAAGACCACGAAGGCCGAUCUUAGAAAUCGAAGAGGCGCUUGCUUUCUCAAAGCUGGGCUGCUCAGAGACCACGAGGGUCGAUCUCAGAAAUCGAAGAGGCACCUGCUUUUUCAGCCUUGUCAGCACCUGUCACAUGCACACUCAGCUUUGCGGAAAUUACGGGCAUUCUGUCGAAGAUUUUUGGUGAAGUAUAAAGCACCUGAAUCUUACUGUUCAAUCAUCCACUUUCCACAUGCAACAUCAGCUCAUGGGUACCACAGAUAACUUUGCCAAAGAUCUCUGGCAAAGUUUAGACAUGUAAAGCUUGUAGCUCCCACUACAUCGCUAUGACCAAGAAAGGUAAAAGAAUAGCAAAGAAACAGCACUAACAAAGUUUAGACACAUAAAUUUUGAAGGUCUAGCUACCAUAUUAUUACCCAUAAGGGUAAAGGAACAACACCACUGCUGGAUAAUUGGAAAGUCCCUGUGUGUCAACCUCUGUGCUCCGUGGCAAGGUAGACUAGCAAACAUGCCCAACCUUUACUCACAUUCGAGAAAACAUUCCCAACAAGAUUGCUUGCUCCAAAAUCGAAGAGGCACCGCCCUCCGAAUCUCGAGAGCCAGACUCCCAACAUGAUUACUUUAUCAAAAAUCGAAGAGAGACCGCUUUCCGAAUCUCGAGAGCCAGACUCCCAACAUGAUUGUUUUCUCAAAAAUCGAAGAGGCACUGUUCUUCGAAUCUCGAGAGCCAGAUUCGCGACAGGAUUGCUUGUUCGAAAACCGAAGAGGCACCACUUUCUCAACUUCGAGAGCCAGAUCUCCUUGGAUAAAGCUUGUCUGUAAUCUUCACACGCAACAUCAGCUUUCCAGAUACCACAGACCACUUUUUCAAAGUGCUCUGACAGAGUUAAAACACGUGAAGCUGGCAACUCCCACUACAGUGUUAUGACCAAGCAGGGUAAAGGAAUAACAUUACUACUUGUUGUUAAGGAGACUCCUAUAUAUGUCGACCUCCAUCCUCAACGGACAGGCAGACCUGCAAAAAUGCUCAACCCUUCCUCAUAUCUGAGAGGGCACUCCCAACGAAGCCUUUCAAAAUACUCAGCUUUCUUUUCCCCCGAUAAUACCUCUGUAAACAAGCUACACCUGAGCAAGAAUAUCUCAUAUCAUCAGGGUUAAAAGAAAGAGUAUCCCAUAUCAUGCUUUUCCCUGUCUUUUCCUUUGGCCUUGUUCUUACCUGCAAGACAAGGAGAAAGAGAGCAAUCAGUCAGCACUUGGAAUCAAGCUUCCAGUCAGAAAUUGACUGCUUGGAACCCCUUACCUAAUUACCUACCUAGCAUUGCUCUCGAGUACUCAUCUUCAACAUCUUAUGCUUCUAGAGAAGAUACCACAUCUGUUUGAGGAACAAAUAGGGCAAGUGAGAAGGAUACAAGGAAGCAUGUGGAGACAAGCGUAACAGAACACGUGCCGAUACAUCCACUACUUUGUCAACAGCAAAAGUAUCCCAUAUCAGCAGGGUCGAACGUAAUCUAGAUUUGAUGAACUUGUUUUGACCCUCAAAUUCUUCAGUCGGCCUUAUACUUUGGCGGAAACCAAAAAACCCUCUAACCCAGUUCAAGAAUAAGCAUGUGGAAAGUUACUUCUUCAAAAGAAAAAGUAUCUCAUAUCAUUUCUUCUUCUUUUUCUUGUCUUCAUCCUUCAUGCUGCCUUCAAGAUAGGGAGAAUGAGAACAAUCAGCCGGAACUCGAAAUCAAACUUCUGAUUUGGGACUGAUUGCUUGGAGCUCUGAUUGCUUACCUUGUCUGUCACCUCUUUCAGUAGAUCCCCUAGCUCGGCGACUUGGGGGACUCCUACUACACGGUUUGUAUCACGCUUGACCAAGCUUGAAACUACAAGUAAGCUUCAAGUGAAAUUAAUACAUUACCUUGUGCAUCUCCAUCAGUUAAAGAUACCACCCCUGGAUGGAGGAAGAGUACUUCCAGAGAAGAUGCCACAUCUACCUAUGAGAUAGAUAAGGUAAGUGAAGACGAUACCACACUUCGGUACUUAGAAGUUUCAUGAUUACUCAGCAGCUUGGACUUGUAAGUCCCCAACUGAGGAGUUUCCCUCACUCGGGAACUUAUGGGAGCACUGUUUGUACCAUACUUGACCAAUCCCGAAACUACCGAGCACCGAUCAACGUUACACCAUCAAGGACCUAGAAACGUUUCACUCCAACUAGGAGGCCAAUCACAGAGCGACACGUGUCGACAUCAGAAGCCAAUCAUAGUGCGACACGUGCCAACAUCGGAAGCCAAUCACAACACGAUAGGUAUCAAUGUCAGAACAAGGCUAGAAACUCUCUUCUAUAAAAGGAGAUCAUUCUUCCACAAUAUUUCCUAAUGUCAUUUGUACUAAAUCAUUCACUUGUACUCACUAAAUGAGAGUUUGAACCUAUGUACUUGUGUAAACCCUUCACAAUUAAUGAGAACUCCUUUACUC
This 77654-nucleotide long non-coding RNA is filed under the name Malus domestica (apple). RNAcentral describes it as "long non-coding RNA (MDOM_LNC012428)". Lineage: Eukaryota; Viridiplantae; Streptophyta; Magnoliopsida; Rosales; Rosaceae. The record is from RNAcentral.